UUUUUUUUUUUUUUUUUUGUGUUUGGGGGGGGGGGGGGGAGAGAGAGGGGGUAAUACAAUGAAUGGUUAGAUGGUGAUGCAUGGCUAGGGACAGAAAUAGAACUUCAUUUUUUCGAUUUUAAGUUGAAUCGAGCUGCGUUUAGCAUUGGAUAAUUCUGUGUUUUUUACUGUAGAUUGAGACCAAUUCUUGACCAUUUAAUUGACAAGCUGUUUGCAGUUGAAUGAAAUGAAAACCUAGAAAUCAACUGUAGCUGUCAAACUAGUUCAAACUCUAGAAAAUUUUGCUUCGAUUAAGGAUAAAUUACAAGUGAAGCUUUUAUUUAUUAUGAUCUGCAGAAUAUGCAAUUAGGUGAUGACAUUGACGACUUUGUCUCUCUUUCCAUUUUGCAGCCAUCAGCCAAUGCCAUGUGUGACACUUAAGUUCCUAAACUUAUAAAUACCUCCAAAUUAAGGAAAAUUGUUGAUAAAAUCCUGAAUGCCUUGGUGGUCAAAGUGUUCCAUUUUAUAAGUUUAGGGACUUAAGUGUCCCAUUUUGAAGUUUAGGGAUUGAAGUGGGUAAUCGUCCAAAGUUUGGGGGGACAAAGUGGAAUUAACCCUUAUUAUUAUGUGAAGUUGCUGCCAUUUCCCGUUUUGUUGCUUAAAUUUUUCCUAUUCAAAUCAGUCAAAUAUAACGAUUUCCUACUUAAAUCUUGAUUACGACUAAUCUGAACAACAAUUCUCCAGUAAUAAUCAUUACCUAUUACAGCAUGCGUUUGUCCGAAAAAAGAAACAGAAAAACUUUUGUUAAGAUGGUUUUUUGCCUAUCAACCUGGUAGCUUCUUAAUUUUUUUUUAAUUUAAUGAAAGCCCUGGUCCUUAUAAGGAGAAUAUAUAAGCAACAGAAGAAAAAUUUGAGGAUCAAAGAAUAGAACUACGGGUGUAAAUUAAUCAAGUUAUUUGCCUCGGGCUCGCAAGUAGUUCGAUCAAGUCCAAUUGAGUUCGAACUACUUGAUAACAUAAUCGAGUCGAGUUCGAAUAGAAAAAAUCAAAACUCGAAGACUCGUAGGGUCUUAUCCAAUAGUAUAUUUAUAAUACAAUUUUUAAUUAUUUAUUAUAAAAUCAUGAAAUUUACUAUAAAAAAUAAAAAUCAAGUUUGAACUAGGGCUCUGCAAACAAUUUUUAACAAUAUUCAUGAUUGACCCUCGCAUCUUUUCGUUCAAGAUUCCCAACCACCCACAUUUACGUUCUGAAGGCCUCAGGGGAAGCCAGGAAGAAUGAAAAAAAGCCCAUUAUGACCCAAUCCAGAAGGCAAAAGGCCCAAAAAGGUUUCCAACCACGCAAUCAUCUUACGAACGGGUCCAAUUGAAAUCCAACUAGCAACCCAACCCAUCUUGAUCGACGCUAUUUUGUUUUCUUUUAACUGUGGAAAGAAACACAAGCGUAAUAUGAAGGAAAAAAACGAAAAAAAAAAUAAAAACACAGUGAUCCACUCAUCUUCUUGGGUGGUCAUCUAAAUAAUCCUUUCUAUCAUUUAUUCUUUUACUCAUUGGGUGGUUACCUAUCCUCCAUCGUAUCUAUUUACUUUUUAUUGAUUAAUCCUACAUUUUAAAAAAUACGAUACCUAAAAUAUAUCUUAUAUCUUAACAAGUGACCAAUGGCACCCGUUAAACAAACACUUGUUAAAAUUAUAAAUCUCGAAAGUAAUAUUUAGAUAAAGAUAUUUUACAAAUAGAGCAAUUGCCAUAUCCAUUAGAGGGGGUUGCCUUUUGGGAGCAAUGCUGAUUUCUUUUUUCCUUGAUUAAUAUUAUGGCCAUCAUGUUACAAUUUGCAGGCAGUUCACCUCAUUUCAAAUAAAAUAUAAACUUUCAAGUGAUUGAUCUAAAAUUUGGAAGCCUCUCAUGAAACAUGAGGAGGAGUUCUAUUUAUUUUUCAAACAAGCAAGCAAUUUUUUCACAUUCAACAUUCGCAUUUACAUUUUGAAGCACUCAACUCUGCCCAAGUGCUAACAAAAGGAAACAAGAAAAAAAGGCAGAAGAUUGUCAUAUGAUCGAUCACCAGCUGAAACUGAUGGACUCGAAAUGCAAAUUAGCUCCCAAACCAGAAGAGCAUAUGUUUGCAACCUCAUGUCUCAUCUUCUUCGGUCCACAAACUAGAACUCCAACGCUGGAUUCUUUGCGCUCAAAAAGAAUUUCUGCGUCAGAACCAACCUUAAGAUAUCAAAACAUGCACGUAGAUUAUGUUGACCAAAAUCAAUGGGAACCUACAGUAAAUUUUGCUGAACGAUAAAUGGGCAGAAUAAUUAUUAACCUGCACUCAUCUAAUCACAUUUAUACUUAAAAAAAAAAAAUACAUGUAACACAAGAGUAGUGAGAUUUAAGAAGCGAAAAAAGAGGAAAGGAGCGAUUUGAAUUUAUGGCCUCUAAUUCCUACGGUUUCAGGCCAUGCGAUUUUUGUUCGCCAUAUAUAAGCUGUUAAUCAAACCCAUGUGUCAUGCUUUAGGAAUUUACCUGCACUAGUAUAAUAUAGUUAGUCAUAUUGCAAUUAGUUGACUUACUCUUUAGGUCUGGCCUUUCACCAUAGUGCAGAUUGGUAGAGAGGACCAGUGACUGCUGGGGUAAGCUUUCUAAUUCUCUGUCUGCAUUAUAGAACCAUGAGUUGGGUGACGCUACGGGAGUUGCCCCUUCCAGGUUCUGAAUCUGUUUGUUCUCCAUGGCAUUUUGUUUCUUGUUCCAGAGAAAAGCCGCGGUAGCUGCGAUGAUUAUAGAAAUGCACAUGAAAAGGAUAUUCAGCACAGCUCUAGAAGACCAUGAAUAGACAUCGUUGGUGUUGUGAUCAAUGGGAUAAAUGUAGAAUCUCGUAAGAAUCCCCAUGAAGAUAAGAUAGAUGAUAAAAGAUGCUGAUAUUAUUGCACCAAGCCAGAGCCAGCUGUUUUUGCCCAAGAUUGGAGCAACUGGUGAAUCUGAUGGCUUUGGUUUGAACCAGACGGUCCUGAGACUCUUCUUGCCUUCUGGUGCUGGUUGUUUUUCUCUCGUUACGUAAGCCUCAAUUUGUAAAGCGAAGUUGGAAAAUUCUGCCGGGGAACCAACAAUAGGGAGGAGCAGAUCUAGCAUGGUCAAGUCUGAAGAAUUCUUGAAUGAGGGGAUGAGGAGAAUUGAAGGAGUCUUGCAUUUCAGCGUCUCGCUUGCGUACAUAAGCUCACGAAUGAUGGAGAUGAAAGGAGUGAUUCCGCUGCCUCCACUCACCAUCACCAGCAAUUCAUGCCUGCAACCAACGGAAUAAGAAAUUAUAGGUAAAAAAAUCAAGUAGCGACAAGUGUCUUCAUUGGUCCGGAUGUACUUACAUUUUUCUUAGACACGGAACAGGAGUAAAGGACACUGUUUGUACCUUAGGAAAUCAGUUGAAGUUGGUCCAUAAGGUCCUUCAAUGGACACAUCAAGAUGAUCCACAGAAGAAGGGGAAGAAAGCAUCUCAUGGAGCUUCUUUGUCCAGCUCCCGUCACCUUUAAUGAUGACACUCAGCUUUUCAGGCUCCAAAUUACUGCUUGAAGUAAUUGUAAAAGGGUGCCACUGUAACUUCGAGAUGCUCGGUACAUUCAAGAACAAUAUGCUUGUUGGAGCAUAGCUAAGACCUGAUAAUAAGGGGGGAAAAAGUUAAAAAUCAUACUAAUUUCGCUUUCAUCAAUUUUAGAGGAUGCAAAGAAUCAAAAGAAAAAGGAAGAACGCGUAAUUACGAAUGGUUGCUCAUAAUGUCACGGCACCAAUUUUAGUUCCAUAACAUAUUUUCUAUGAAUGAACAAAUUCCUCUUAAAAAUAAACACAUCAUUUGGACAGUGAAGGCCAUCGUUGUCAUUCAGAAGAAACCUGAUGUAGAGCUGAAGUUCGUGAUCAUUUGCUAUCACCUAUCAUUUGGUUUUUUUCGUUUUUUUUUUUUUGUAAUUAAAAGUUUGGACAGAUUCAACUCUAUUCACCAUCAUGGAUCAGGGCAUACCCUUAAAACCAUACAUCGCUUAGAACAAUUCUUAUAGAUAGUCCACUAACAUAGUUCUCGCAUUCGCAGCAAAAUUCAAAUAUACAACCUUUUUGUGAGAAGGUUAUCCGCGCUUGUCAAUUAAGCCAACUUGUGUUGGCAUAUUAUUUGGUAGAUUAAUUUUAUUUUUCUUUUCCCCCCUGUACAAUUGGAACAUGCACUUAUGUACCUUUGGUCUUGGAGAAGCUGAGCUCCACGGUUUCACAGGGUAGAAUUCGAGCGGAGACUGAACGAACGUUUUGGCGAGAUUGCAAGAACCUCAAGUAACGAUCAAUCAUGAAGAGAUAGAAGCCAGGAAGCAUGAGGCAGGCAAAAGCGAUGCCAACAUGGAGGACGAAGAAGAGCACGAAGAUGAUGUACAAGUGAUGAGUAUAGAAGAAGAGCUCAAACAUCUUUCUCCUUAUGCGGGGAAAUGUCGUUGCCCACAUGGCUAGUCCCGCUACCAAAGCUAUUUCUCCGGCCACAUUGGAAAUGUCUGCUUUAGCCCAUUUUGUCAUCUGAAUUAUUUGAGCAAAAAUAACAAAACAAAGAAGAAAGAAAAAUAAGAUAUUAGUUAUACUAAUUAUAAGCAAAAGAAAAGCAUACGUGAAGAAGGUAACCUUUGACAUAUCUCACAGACGAAUACAAAAAUUGGCAAUUUUAACUUUUUGAUCUCAUAAGAUUGACGAACCCCACGAUAACACCCUAUAAGCUAGCAGCCCACCACCCUUGAAUAUGAUACAUCAAAGUCGAUUUGUCAAGCAACUCCCAGAUGGGACCUUACUUAUCUUUUUGCUUUUUCCAGCAAACAACAAUAUAUGCCCAUACGUAAUGCGAAACUGCAAUUUGCAUGGAAAACGCACCAAGCCUAAAAGAUAUGUAAAGAAAAGCAACCAAGAGCCCAAACAAGAAACAAGAACAAAUUUAGAGCACAGACCAGUUUCUUCUGGUUUGGUCAGUGGGGUGAUGCAUGCUAGCUAGCUAUUAGUCUCCCCAGGUCCAGGGCAACCCAUCCCUGCAACUUGUUUCUUGUGGGCACAAUCACCCAAGUUGCUCCUUCACUCAUAGUGUCAGUGCUCAGUACAUCGACUGUUGCACUAUUUUCGUUUAGUUAUUGAUUUAAACAAUUGGAAACUUCUAUUCUAUUCAAUUAUAUAACUUGUUCAAUCGCCUGUGUUUCCGGAAAAGAUAUAUAAGAGUAAUCAUUUAUUUUAUUCAUUGAAGAUAGAGUAACCGUUCAAUUAACUUUCAAAUUAACCAAAAAAAAAAUCGCAAAUAAAAAGAGGACUCCAUGUACAUCUGCAUAUCAAUUCUUACGAAAGAAACUAAUUAAAUUGGACGAGAUAGUCAAACAAUUUUUUCGAAUAUAAACCAUUGCAUCACUUGUUUAAGGCUGUCACCACCUCAAAUUGUUGGCACUGGCAGUGAAGCGAGUUUGUUAAGGGUGUUUUAAGGUUGGAUGCAAAGGGCACAUUGAACAGGACUAGUAGAAUGCUUCAGUCAUUAGAUAUGACUUUGUUCAUUAAUUCAGUUGUCUUAAUUGUAUUUAACGUUUGUAUCAAGUACAAAUAACCGGUGGAGUACUACUACUUAAUAAUUACCUCGGAUAUUUGAUGUGUGGCAGCCCAGAAGAUGAUGUAGCAAACGCCAUGAGCGGUGAAAAGGGUCAUUACAAUGUGGCCAAGCCAUAUAUGAUACUUGAUGCUUGCUUCGGAUGUCAGGCCAAAAAGUUGCAGCACCGAUGAGCCGCGGGUCACCGGAAAGAAGAGAAAUGUUAGACAUAGAUUCCCUAGCAGGCCUAGCCUUAGAGAUGCACUGCCCAGCUUAGCUUGCCACCUGCCACAUAUAUAUAUCACAUAUGAAUACGAUUAGUGUAUGGAUUUAUAUGAUCCGCCACCUUUGUCCGAACAAUCUCAGCUUUUAUUUCUGCAACUCUAUGCUUUCUGGAAAGAAUAAUAAUAAUAAUAAAGAAACUGAGAUGGAUGGAUUUCUUAGUUUCUAAUUAAGUUAAAGGCAUCUUACAAUUUCAUCCCACUCUUUGCAGCUGACUUCGGAGUGAUGCUAGCGAAGCCAUUGCGCACGUAAACUGUGUAGAACCAAACGAGAAGGGCAAUGAACAUCACAAGAAAAGCCAACUCAAUUCGAGAAACAAUUCCUAGUCCUUUGAUGAUAACUGGCCUCUUCCAUGCCACUAUACGAUUUUUACCAUCACGUCUGUCGAUCAGAAAACACGAAGAAGAGUUGCAAGUCAAGCUUCUUCUUCUUCUUUUGUUUUUUUUCCCCCCACGAAGCCAAAAAAAAAAAAAAAAAAAAAUCUGCUGCAAAAAUUACUUAAAUCCUUCUUGAUGUAUCUAGAGUUACCUCUUUGAAUCAUGCUCAUUGCUUCGUUUCUUUCCUAAAUGGAGAAAGACACAGCCCAAGGCAGCAACGAAAAGAACAGGAAAUGUGAAGACCAAGAAAUUUGCACCUGUAAAAGGUGGUUAUGAAGAAGAUGAAACUGCUUAUAUAAAAUUGAGAAAGAACAUCGAGGAGUAGAGAGGAUCGGAGAUCAAUAAAUCAUCAAUAAAUAAACCUUGUGAUCCAAAGUAAGUUGUAUUAGACUCAGCUCGAAUCUUUAGAAGCCAGUUCUGUUUGAAAGUAUUGGUUGGCACCAUGAUCCAGAUGAAAAUAUAUCCAGCCGAGACCACAACAAGCAGUGCCAUUAUCAUUCCUUGGACGACACUGUUUCCUCCAGCCUGAGGAGAUCUUGUUGCCACCCUUGUGUCCAUGGCUUCGUUGAUGACUAUCACUACGGGCCAAUAUUCGUAGCGGGGGGAAUAUCUAUGGAAUUGCAAAUCGAUAGAAAUAGCCUUGUAUAAUGGAUACAAGAAGUUAAUGGCCUUAUAUAAUGGAUAGACGUCGUGUAGAAUAUUAUUUCCUAGUGUGUGAACCUACAAGAGAAACAGUAGCAUACCACUAAUAUUCCUAAACCAUGAAAAGCAUGAUUCACGCCCCUGCAAGGGUGAUGGAAUGUAUACACGUAAUCUUCAUUCUUCCCCUAAAAACAAAACCUGCGAGAGACAGAGAGUGUGUAAAAUAAUUAAUUAAUUUUGGACACAAAUUUUUUUUGGCAAUAGUUGUGUAUAAGCACGGCAAACAAGCAAGCAUAGGCUUUUACCAUAUGCUAAGUAGAUACCAAAGAAAAUCAUUCAACUGUAGUAAAAAUUUGACAAUAUAUAUUGUAACAUCAAGGUUAGGCAUUUAACUAUAAUACUAUACAACAAUGGCCCGUUUAGAUUGCAUUUUUCAUGAUUUUUUCAUGAAAAAUUUACUGUAGCGAUUUGAUGUAUGUGAGGAAAAAAGAUUAUAGGAAAAUAUGAUCACGAAAAAUAACGCAAUUUUUUGACAGAAAAUGAUAAUCCAAACAGGGCCUAAUUUCACUUAUACGUUUAUUUUUCAACUGAUUACAUGUUUUUUUGACAUUAUUCGGGGGUCAACGAAAGGGCAAAGAAAGGCACGUGGUUUGCUUUAUUACGCUUCAUUGCAUGCUUCAUGCAUUAUUUUCGCGUCAGGGGAGGGGAUAGCUUAAGAGUAGCAGCACACUUGUAUCUAAAUCAAACAGUUUAAAAAAUGGAUACGUACGUAUGCACCUAAUGCAAAAGAGAAUAACUUGAUUGUGUGGUUGACGCCAUAAGUAGACUAGUAUGGUACUUGUAUAAUUGGCAUAUACAUAGAGGUCUGAAAAUGCCAAUGCCAUCUAUAUAUAUAUAUAUAUAUAUAUAUAUAUAUAUAUAUAUAUAUAUAUAUAUAUAUAUAUAUCGUAAAACCUACUCUAUGGGAAUCUGACUCUAAGGAGUGCCUAAUUGAGUCGAAGAAACCUGACGGAGAUUGAACCACCAUCAGAUCAGAUGGGUGCACCACUCACCCGUAUGGAUUUAGAACAAUUCUCAUAUAAAAACAUAUUGAUGGGAGGCAAGAUUUAUAUAUAUAUAUUUUUUCGUAAAACCUACUCUAUGGGAAUCGACUCUAAGGAGUGGCCUAAUUGAGUCGAAGAAACUUGACGGAGACUGAACCACUCACCCAUAUCAAUUUAGAAUAAUCCUCGUAUAAAAACAUAUUGAUGGGAGGCAAGAUUUGAACCCCUGAUCUCUCAUCCCACUAUUAAUGUGGUCGCCGUCUCUAUAUUCACUAAUCAAGAUCUUUACUACCAUUGAAAUGCAUCAAUAUAUAUAUAUAUAUAUAUACUCAAAUCAAAUACGUCCAUGUGUUUACACUCGAAAAGAGGAAGAUAAGGUGCGAAGUCCUGUCCGUCAAAACUUGCCAAAAAAUCAAGAAAAGCUAAUAUGUAACGAUCCAUUCAGUCAAUUAGAACCAUUAAUUCACUGCUUUUCUUCCAAGUUUCACAAACGAAGGGCUUUAUCCAGCUUUUCUUCUGACAAAAACACCAUAGAUUUCUGACAUUGUUUAACAGGCAUAUAUGUAAUGCUGACGCAAAAAAAGAAACAUACCACUAAAUGGAAGCUAGUGAUCGUUAGGCAAUGAAAGAUCUAAUCCUGGUGAAAUAAAAUUAGGACCAUCAAAGUGGAGGCACCGCCCCAAACCUGAAUUUCACGGCCCAUGUCUAGCUACAUUCCUCUCUGUUUCCACAGAUUGGGCGGAAGGAUAAAGAUUUGGCUUUUUUAGGGGAAACAACACUUAGCAAAUUGGAGGGCAAUCGCCUAUUUGACCAAUAUAGUGGGAUGGCUAAUGUGGGAUGUGCGUGUUGCAUUGUGUUCGUCCAGGAGUAAAUACGGCAGUCCUCGUGUUGGAUGUGCGCCUGCGCGUGCCCAAAAGCUGAUGUGUGGAGCAGAUGUUGGGUUGACACAAUUAGACAUGCAAUUUUUCUGUAGCUUAAUCUUUUUAUCUCUUAAUUGUUUGCCUACAGUUUCUUGAUGAUUAAUUAAAUGGCCUGAAAUAAUUGCUACAUCUGCCUAUGCAAGCAUUGCAUGAGGACACUGUGAUGAUUAUAUGUUGUCAGUCGUCACCUUGAAAGUGGAAGUGAUGCUUCAGGACACUUUCCACAGCAAAAAGGCAUCUACGCUCCAUCCUCUGGGAAUUCAGUGACGUUUCUAAUCAUAGUUGCUAAAUCUUGGGAACCUAGCCAGGUUUCGUGCGGAAAUCAACGGACCCAUGUGGCAGCACCACCCGCCAACGAUCAACAUGGUCGCACUAGGAUUGCAAACGAGUUUAGCCUCCUCGCGAAUCAACUGGAUGGAAACUAGAUGCAGGUUCGUCCAAAAUUAUUGAGUUCUAAUCGAAUUCGAGCUAGUUUGACAAGUUAGUCGAAUCAAAUCAAAUACAUUAGUACUCGGUUCGUUAGCUUGUCAAGUCAGUUCGAAUAUAUACAUUUUUAAUAGUAAAAUUAUAUAUAUGUCUUCUGAAUUUUUGUUAUUUAUUAAGGUGAAAUGUCAAUUUUAUAUAUUUGCUUUUCUAAUUAGAAAAAGAAAAGAAUGAUAUUGGUGGUUUUUGAAUGAUUAGUAGGUUAUUGCCCCCGCGUGAAUGGUCCAGCGGCAGCGCCUCUCACCAGUGACCCUUGAAGUCACAAGUUCGAGUCUCAGCUACGCUGGAUUCCUCCGCGCACUUAAUGUGUUCGCGCCGGGUUGGGGCGCCGGACCCGGGCCGCAGGGGAUUAAUCGGGCCCCGUAAGAAUUGAUCCGGAUACCCCUGUGUCGAAAAAAAAAAAAAAGAAUGAUUAGUAGGUUAUUGAGUAGUAUAGGCUUAGACUUGGGAAGAAUAUAGUGGUACAAUUAUAGGAAGAGUACAGUGGCAGCGGUGAAUUAGCAGUGUGAAAUUUGACAGAUGAGGUAUGGAUGUAUCAUGCUAAAUCUUGGAAUGGUACAUUUGGAAAUUGGAAUAACAAAUAAUAUGACACUCUAUUUUUUGACACUGACUCAUGCAUUAUAUGUAGAGAGAUAUGCAUUCACUUUUUUUAGGGGCGGCAAUUGGGUCAGAAGUGAAUUGGCGGAUUGGAUUGAGAUCUGAAUAUAACAGAUAACCUGCUGACCCGAAUACGACUUACCAAUUCAAAACGGGUCAGGAUACCUAAUUCGAACCCGAAAUUUUGGGUUAGCGGGUCAACCCGAAUGACCUGAAAUAUAAUUUCAAUUUAUUAAUUUACCAGUGUAAUUUCUAACAUAACCAAUUUCGCACAAGACUAAUUACAUUAUCAAAUAAUAAAAAUCUCGAUAAAACAAUUCCAAACCAGAUCUGAAAUAAAUUAAAACACUGUAAAAGUAUUUUAUCCCAAACCAGAUCUAAAAUAAAUUAAGAUACUAUAAAAAUAGAAAAUAAUGUUAUAUAUCAUUUGUCCAAACAUAAUAAUUCCAACUUCACACAAGUUAAACAAAUUCAUUUAGAAUUAAGUGGUUAAUACCUUUGGGGAAAAAAGAAUAACUCAGUUUAGUUAGAUAAAAUAUUUUUAUAUUUAUUAAAUUAUUUUUAAUUUAUAAACGGGUUAUCGGAUCAACCCGUGGAUGACCUAAAUUCGACCUUUUUUCGGAUUCAUUAAGUUCGACUCAAUUCUGACCCGAACCCAUAAAAUCUCAACCCAAACCCAUUAAUUUCGUAUUAAAUUCAUGUCAUAUAUUCAAAUCGUGUCGAAAAUUGCCACCUCUAACUUUUUUGAUUCGUUGUAGUAGUUUUGAAAUAAGCGUAUCUUGCAAGCACGAUCGAGGGAGAAAGAAAUCAAUGGCUCAUGAUCAAUGGUUUGGCAUCGCGCUCACUAAUGUUCUUAAUUAAGAAUUCAACAAAUUAAGUGGAGUACUAAACUUUUAAGUUCAUUUCUUUGAAAAUAGAGUAUUACUCUUUGAUUAUUCUUUAUUGCUAAAAUUUCAUCCCUAAAAUCAUAGUCCAAAAUAUGAUCUAAUAUUCUAAUGUGUUCCCGCAUCUAAAAGGCCGCGAGCCCAAUAAUUGUUCAGCCAGCCUUCCAUAGCCAGGUGAUUAUAUAUCAUUUUCCCCACAGUUACACUUUUUUAGUCCCCAUCCGCAUUUAAAUUUGAAGGCUGGGCCUGGGUCUAACCAUAGAGGCAAACAAGAAGGAAAAUGAAGGACCCACUCCAGGGGCCUCCAGGAGGCCAGAAAGUUUCAAUUUUGCCAGCCACAUUCUACAAGAUUGUCGAUUCACCCGCUGAAACUGAUGGACUCGAAAAUGCAGACCGGCUCUUAAACCUGAAACAACGUCUGUUUACAACCUCAUAUCUGAUUCUUUGUGCUGAAAAUGAGCUUCUGAAUCAGCAUCAACGUUGUUAGGAGUUGGGGAAAUUAGGACAAUCUAUUCAAUUAUCCUCGAAGUAAGAUGAAGACUACAAUGAAUGAAAAGAGUUCAACAAAGAUUUUUUUGAAAAAGAUAUCCAAAACUAACACAAGAAGGAAAGAAAAUUUGUGCAGACUACCCUGUCUGGUGGAUCUUGAAACACGGGGAGAACUUGAAAACGACAAAACAUGUGCUAGUUUAGUAUAUCAGAUGGCAAAUUGGCGCAAUCCCACCAUGCAAGCUGAAUAUUUUUACAUGGCAAAGUAAGAAUAACUAGAACCAUGUGUCGAGGGAUUGAUUACAUGGCAAAGUAGUCAAUAACUAGAAGCAAAUGACUGGAGCAGAGCUACAUAAAGAUGAAAAAGAACCUUCUGCCAUCUGUCACUCAACUAAACAAACAAAAACACUGAGGAGAUCUUGCAGUUCCAAUUCCAGAACAGGAUAUGCUGUGGUGUAGGUAUAACUUGCAAGCAUGGCUCUGUCUAUAGUCUUUAGUUACUUCAAAGUAUAUCUAGCAUUGAACUAGUCUGUAGCAAGUCAGCAGCAGCAGCUCUUCUUCUUCCAGAACCACAACAUAUGACGCAAAUAAUACAUGCUACCAAUGUUUAUCUUUGCGUCUAAAAUGUUCCAUUAUAGUAAGGUGUGAUCCUCUUUCAUAAAUCAUGAUGACAUAGAUCUAAAACUUUGCAACUACUACUGGUGAUGCUGACGUAAAGACGGAGAAGGAGCUCUACUGUAGUCUAUAUACCAUGCCAAAUGCUUCGACCAUAUUCGAAGCAAUUGAACCAUAAGAUUAUCAAACCAUCAGCAGCCAAGGUAGAGAAUACCAUCUGGCAACACAAAGCCAAAAGCCUAUCGGACCCAAGAUCAAUAAGGAACCAUAAUUCACAUCACACUUCAUUAAGGUCCUACACAGCAAUUAGUGCAAACUGAUUUCCGCUAGAAAACCAAACAUAAAGAAAACACAGCAACCACUCCAAAAGAAGAGGCAUCAAAAAAUGCAUGAUCGAUUGCACCCACACUAGAAAAAAAUAUACUGAUUCACAGGAUUAAUAAAAGCAAUGAAGUUUCCUUUUCCAAACUGCUUGAACAUUCAUAGGUAAAGGUAAUUUCCAACAAAUAAGCUAUUGAGUACAAAGCAUAGACAUCAUUCCCCGGAAAGUAUACAAAUAUGUUAAAUAUCUCAACACUGAGUGGAGUACAGUUUGAAUUUUAGACAAAUCUACAGCUACUCUGUAUAAAUAAAAGUUCUCACAAGAACAAGAGAAACAAAAAGCCAUGAAGACGUUUCAUAUACUAGUCCUUAAGAUCUUCAGGGAUAUAUAAGGUACUUGAUUUAGGACUCACUAGGCCCACAAGGGCAUCAGAGUUUACCAGAUGACUGUUGGCUGCCAUACUUCAGAUUAAUUUCAGAGACAUCCACAGGUAACCUUAACCAUCCCACUGUGUCCCUGCCUCCAGACCUCCUCCUUUGCACUACCACGGAUGCAGUUAGCAACAAAAACACUGCCGCUAGUAAAGGCACUAUGACACCGGCAUUUCCUCUUCUCCAGCUCUUCAUAACUGACUCAACACAGAGCUCGCCAUCAAAACUACCCAGUGAAUUGCUUAUCUUGAAGACCUCAACCCCAUUGAGGAUAGCAUCAACAGCAUUGGUCAAGCUCAUAUUGGACGGGCCAACACUAACGUUCAAUGAUUCGGAAUUCAACCCUUCCACUACAAAAUCAGCAUAGAAAGGCGAAGCAAGCAACAUGUUUGUCAUUGCUGAUAAAUCCAAGUCCUCAUAUGCCAAAUUCCCAUUUACAUAAACAUUAAAGUAAAGCAUAUAAGGCCCAAUGCUUGCUAUAUCGCAGAAAUGCAUCCGAACCAAGUACUUGUAACCCUCAAUUCCUGGAAACACCCAGGCUAUGUUCGACUUGGGAAUGACAUUAUUCGAGCUCUUAAUCACCCGGGCUGAGUUAUAAACAUUGUCCGGCCCAACUUCACGCGUUGCCCCGCCCAUCUGAUACUGAAUCCGGCCACUGAAGUGGAUUUCCAAGGAGCCCUCAUGACCGGAUUUUUCCAAAAAUUCACCAUCAGGGACCCAAGCCCUCCACAGAGAAUCAUUGAAAGGUGUCACCUUUGGACCUCCUACAUUCACUCUAUAAACAGUUUCGAACCCUUUGUUCAACAAUCCAUUAAUCCUCUCAUUUUUCUCAGAAUUUACAAACUGGGCUACGUCAGCGACCAAGUCAUGGGGUGCAGAAAUCACUUCAAUUGCGUUGACAAAGGCAAAAUUCGAUCUUUUCUUUGGCACAAACGUAAUAUCAAGCUUAUCGGAAUCAACCCUUAUGAUAUACUCCUUGAUUACUAUACCGUCUUUCGGGGAAUUCUGGAUGCUAAAAUCGCGUAACAACAAGAACCCAUUUGCCAAAACGUGGAAUUGAACAGCGGAGAAGUCGAAAGAAGUGGAAUUAAAGAAAGGAGAGAAAUGAAGGCGUACCAAGUGGUGGGUCCCCCCGCGGUGGUCCUGAAUUGGGAAGCUGUACUUGCAGGGACUGCUGAAGGCUCUGGCAGUGCGGUAGAGAGGAGAAGAAUUGGAAGAAGCGGGGUCGGAGUUGGUGAGUGGAAUAGUCCGGGUUGAAGGGGUGGUAAAGAAUCGGGAGGCUGAGGUGGAGGAGUCGCCCGUGAAGCGGCGGUGGUCGAGGUCGAUGAUGGAGGGCUCGUGGGAGCCGCAGCUGAUGAGGUAAUGAUCGAUUGGGUGGAAGAAGGAGGAAGAGGAGACGAGGGUGGUGAAGAAUAAUAAGAAGAAGGAGGAGCUAAGAGCGAUGGCGGGAGCAGUGAAACUCUUCAUAGCUCAGGUCAAUUUGAUGAUGGAAUUGGAAACUGGGAAAGUGGAAAAGAAAGGCGUCUGGAUCAUUCAACUCUCACGAAGAAAGAUGAAAAUACAAAUUAGAAAGCAAAAGCGUGUUUUGGCAUUUUAACAACAUCUGAUUUCUGAGCUGGAGGCGUUGAAGUGAAGAAUGUGGACCCCACGCGCUUGAAGCAUUCGGUCAUCUUACAAGAUGAAAUCUUUCAUCUGAUUUUUUUUUAAAAAAAAAACUCGGUUCUUUUUUUUUUACCAAAGCCAGGAUGACUUUUGAUCAUUUUACAAACCUAAAUCCGAGGAAAUCACAAAAGCCGGCAACUCUUGAGUUUCCUCAGGAGACUUAUAAACUAAUCCAAAUCCCCCCCAACACUCGAUGUGGGAUAACUACCUUAAGCAGGGCAGCUACUACUAAGACCUAAAGAGACCUCACUAACCCCGGACAGGCAGUUGUCUUUUUUACCAAAGCCAGGAUGACUUUUGAUCAUUUUACAAACCUAAACCCCGAGAAAAUCACAAAAGCCGGCAACUCUUAAGGUUCCUCAGGAGACUUAUAAACUAACCCAAACCCCCCCCCCCAACACUCGAUGUGGGAUAACUACCUUAAGCAGGGCAGCUGCUACUAAGACCUAAAGAGACCUCACUAACCCCGGACAGGCAGUUGUCAUUUUUACCAAAGUCAGAAUGACUUUUGAUCAUUUUACAAAUCUAAACCCCGAGAAAACCACAAAAAAACUCGGUUCGAAUUAGCUAUUUUUCAAGUGAUUUUAAAAAUUUUACUGUAAUUGUAUAUAUGAAAAAAUUUAUCUAUUGAGGUUGUUUUUAGAGGGUUUUUUUUUAAACAUAUUUUAAAACAUUUUUAAAAUUUAUGAAUUUUUGAAGCAUAUUUAAAAAAUUUACAUCACUCACAACUGCUACCCACCGUCGCCACCUCCACUCUCCUCCUUUUUCCUCUCUUCUCUUCCUCCUCUCUUCUCUCCCUCUUCCCUUGCCGUCACCAUCACGUGCUUGAAGCAUUCAAUCGUUUCACUAGAUGAAAUCUUUCAUCUAAUCCUUCCAAAAAAAAAAUUCAUUCAUCUAAGGUACUAUCUGUAAAAAAAAUAAAUAAAAUGUAAUGUAUAAAAAUUAAUCUAAAUUUAAAUUUAAUAUAUAUGUUAUGCAUCCAAUUAUUAGAAAAUAUACACCGUCAUUAUGUGCAAGAUUAACUAAAAAAAUAAGGGAGAAGAAAUUGUGUCUGUUUGCGUGUGAUAGUGGCAAUAGGAGGCAACGGAAAUUUCUUCGAUUACUCAUGAGUCAUGACAAGGCUUCGAGGUCAAUACAUAACAAACGAGCAGAGAGGCUACUAAUUCUUAAGCCUUACGCGGCUCCACUGUACAUUCCACAAUCCCAGACGGACAGACUUUAGUACUAGGGAUAAUUUCAGAAACCUCCCCUGAGGUUUCUAAUAAUUUCACUGAACUCCCCUAAAGUUUUAAAAAAUUAUACUUACCUUCCUUAAUUUGAUAGUUUUAGUAACAAAACCUUAAAAUAGUAUUUGAUUUGGUCAAUUUUUUAAAUGAAUACCCAAAAAUACUCUUGUAUAAUGAGUUUUAAUUUAUUUUCCUGUACAAUUAUAUGAUUUUUUAAUAUAAUUAUAAGGCAAAGUUGCCAAAUUUUUUAUGUCCAUUUCUGCUAUUUGAUAAACAACUAUAAUAAUAAUUUUAUUAUUAUGAUAUUAUACUUUUUAUGAUAUUUUAUUAUCAAUUUAGAUUUAUAAGAUAGAAAAGAAAAUGUUGAAAUAAUUCAUUUAGAUUUUAUAAAAUUUUCGAAUAGUGGGAUUAUCAGAAUUUAAUAGUGAUUGUGGGACAUUUUUUUUAUUUAUUGUUAAUUUUAAUACCCAAAAAUAGAAAACAAAGAUCAGCAAAAACAUUGGAUUACAUAUAAAAUUAAUUCGUCAAAAAAAUCACUAGUUCGACAUUUUGUUAUAAUAAAAAAUAAAGGUAAUAGUUGUAGUUCUAUAGUUUUAAGUUUUAUUGCCUAAAAACUAAAAAAAAAAGAAUGAGAAGGAAAAAGAAUGAAAAAAUAAUUUUAAAACUUAUUUUAAGUAUAAGCAUGCCAAAUAAGGGAAUUUCAUUAAAAUAUUUAAGGGUAAAAUUGUAGUUUUAAAUGAUAAGAGAGGUAUGUAUAAUUUUUCAAACCUCAUGAGAGCUCAGUGAAAUUGUCAGAAACCUCAGGGGAGAUUUUUUAAAUUAUCCCUUAAUACUAAUACCCUGCGGACUUCACUAGUAUUAGAAUUAGCAUAGGAUUUUUUUUUUUUGAAUUUUUGAAAUAUUUUUAAAAAGUUUACACCACUCAUCACCACUAUUAGGCCUGUCAACGGGUCGGGUCUAGACCCGGAUCCGGACCGGAUCCGUGAAAUUAUUGCGGGUAAGGGUAGGGAUUUAAUUCCGUUUCCCGGAUCCGGAUCCGGAUUCGUUUUGUCAAACAAAAAAACGGGUCGGAUACGGAAUAUAGUAUUCCGACCCGUAUUAGACCCGGAUCCGGAUAUAAAUGAAUUUAUAAUUUGAUUAGGGUGAUGUAUUUGAAUAAAGUCAAUUUGAUUUAUUUUCUUAUUUGGUUUUUCCUUUGCAUUAGUUAGAAAUUAGUUUACAAAUAUAUUUUUUUCUCAUUUUAUUAGAAAUUAUAAAUUUUGCUAAAUUUGUUCGGGUAGACCCGACCCGAAUCCGAGACCCGCCGGAUCCGGAUCCGGAAACAUAGAAUAAAAGACCCGUCGGGUAAACGGGUCGGAUCCGGGUCCGGUAUAGUAAUUCGGGUCCGGACCCGGCCCGUUGACAGCCCUAACCACUAUCCACCAUCACCACCUCCUCCCUCCUUCUUCUCUCUCUCUCUCGUCUCCUCCUUCUCCACCGUCACCAUGACGCGCUUGAAGCAUUCAAUCAUUUUCACUGGAUGAAAUAUUUCAUCUAAUCCUUCAAAAAAAAAACCUUCAUCUAAGGUAUUGUUUGUGAAAAUAAAUAAAUAAAAUAUGAAUGUAUAAAAAUUAAUUUAAAUUUGACAUAUAUAUCAUGCAUUCAAAGAUGAUAAUGUAUACACCAUCACAAUAUACAAAAUUAACUCAAAAAUAAAGGGGAAGAAAUUGUGUAUGUUUUAUGUGUGUUAGUGGUAACAGGAGGCAAAGGAAAUUUCUUCUAUUACUUGACUCUGUUUGGAUUAUAUAUUUUUUUAGGUGUUUUUCAAAAAUUUUACUGUAACUGUGUAUAUAAAAAAAUUUGACUGUAGAUAUUUUUUAGAGGUAUUUUUAAAAUAUAUUUUGGGGCUUUUUUAUAAUUUAUAAAGUUUUUGGAAUUUUUUUAAAAAAAUUUUACACCACCCCCUCCUUCUCCUCCCUCUUUCCUCUCCCUUCUUUCUUCUCCCCUCCUUUCCCCCAACCCCAAAACCCUUUGAGUAGAUUAUUGUUCUUAAUCUACAAAAUAAUGAAAAUAAUAUUUUGACAAAAAAAUACUCAUGGUAGACAUAUAUAUCCUUGCAUAUUGACACAUGUUCUAAUUAUUUUGUAGAUUAAAAGCAAUAAUCGACGAAAUGGCCACAUGUGUGCUGAUUAGUUAAUUUAAUGGCUAAUUUGUGAAAAAAAUUGUUUGAUCGAUGUGAACAAUAGUUUAACGGCGGUUGAGUUUUUUUAAACCUAACUAAACAAACCAACCAAAUAACAACAAAUGGCAUCAACUAACUAAAUGAAAUAAAUGAAACACUCAAGCUUGGUUUUGCUUUCCUACACAAAUCAUCUCUCAAAUAAUUUUGGACUGCAAAACCAUGUAUGGGGUUUGUUUCUUAUCAUUCAAGAUAUCAGGCCACCUUUUUGCUGAAUUAGUAGCGACAAUGCAAUUUAUCCUAAAUCAAAAUGAUGGGAAAAAAUUAAUAACGUAUCACUAUUGACAAUUUUGCAUCAGUGCACAUAAGAAAAGGACAUCGUUGCAUAAAUCUAAGAUCAAAAUGACGUGAAGGAAAAUGACAAAAGUAUUUUAACCUUGUCUUCAUAUUCAUGCCUUUGAAAGUAAUUUCCAAAUUAUAAAAUUUACAUAUCUUACAUAUUAACUCCUCUAAAGCGCUUUUCAAAACUCAAUUGCUUAUUUGCAUUCUGUCAUAUGUAAAAAUAUAUGGGAACGUUAAAUUGAAUGGUAGAUAAAAGAUAUUGUAAAUAGAGUAUACUGAAUUUUAAAAAAAAAACCCUUUUCCUUAUUAUUUUCUCCUCCUUUUUUUUCCGUUGAGGAUUUAUAUAUUCUCACGGGUGUCUAAAAGAUAUUUUAUUUGGACAGAUAGAAACCGAAGAGAGAGAGAGGGGAUUCAUCAACAAAGAAUACACUUUUGCAACAAUUACACUACUGUUGUUUUAUACACGUUAUAAACUCCUCUUCAACGAAAUCCAGGCCCAACAAAAACCUCUCGUCCUCCUCCUCUUUCUUCUUCACCCCUAAAGCCUAAAAAACAGGGAAGCUUCAAUCCCUUGCUACGUUCCAGACAAGACUGCCCAGAGCCACUGAGCCAUGGCGUUCCCUUUUAUGGAAGCUGUCGUUUGUACGUUUUCUCUUGCCAUAUGUCUUAUCGACUUUCUCCUCUUCCCUAGCCUGUAUUUGAGCACAUUUUGUUUGUAUUGCUUCCGAAAAUUAGAACAAGAAAUUGAUGGUCGAUGUUUAUUUUGUCAAGAAAUCGCUUUAUUCAUCUCAUGCCCUUUAUAGAGUUAAUAAGUUGACGUUUGCUUUGAAGUUUGGAUUUUAUCUCUGGGUUUCCGCGGUUGUGGGAUUUCUUGAAUCUUUACUGUAGUUGUUGCGUUUCUGCGGGUUGGAAGAUAGGUUUAGGGUUUCACUUUAAUGUCUUUUUUUUCCCCAUAUUUCCUUUCCUUCAAUAUUUUCUUUUUUAUGUGAUAUAGUAGCCCUAUUUAAUUGCUGUCUUGGAGUGAACUUUAUGGUAUUGUCUUCGGGUCGAUUGAAAGGAACACCUAUAUAUGCAUGUGUGAGAACACGCUUAGAUCACUUGUACAAAGAAAGAAAGAAUCUUGCACAUAACUUUACAAAAGUGGUAGUGCAAACAGUAGAAGUGGCUGAAGACUUCCACUUUCCGUGGAGUUCUUUAGUAGAAUGCGUUGACUUUAUGGUUUGAUUACUUAGGACUGUUGGCUUUGUUGUUUCAUUGUGCAAUAGUUCAUUAUCCUUUACCUUGUUCAUCUUCUUGUAGAAUGAGUUCCGUAAUCUAUGUCUUUGUCUUUAUGAAGUUCUGCCUGUUUGUGCCAUCACAUGGUGACUGACUGAUUGGACGGUCUUGUUUCACAAAUUUAAUUCCAAUCUUGGAUCUAUCUUUCAAACAAAAAAUGUCUUCUGUGUACUAGUUCGUUUAAAUUGCAUUUUUAUCCCUUCUAAAUAGGUGUGAAAGAAUAGUUCGUCUAAAUUGCAUUUUUAUCCCUUCUCAGUUCUCAUUAUGUCCCUUUCACCCCUAAUUUUGUUUCAAAAUAUUCAGGUUUUAUGAUAUUGAUGUACUUAUUCGAGAGUUAUCUUGAUUUGCGGCAACAUGCUGCCCUUAAGUUGCCUACGCUACCAAAAACUCUGGAGGGUGUAAUCAGCCAAGAAAAAUUUGAGAAGUCUCGAGCAUAUAGCCUUGACAAAAGGUAUCAAUUACUUCCUUUCGUUUCUAAAAUGCUUCUGUCUCAAAUUUUAUAGAGAUUAUACUUGCUUCAAACAGUGUUUUUGUUAUUGAUUUUGUUUACCUUUCUUGCAGCAACUUCCACUUUGUUCACGAGUUUUUUACCAUUCUGAUGGACUCUGCAAUUCUGUUCUUUGGUAUUUUACCUUGGUUUUGGAAGGUGAGUAGACUUGUAUUCUUUGGAGAUCUUCUUUGCAGCUGAAAUAUUUCUGUUGACAUUACUAUGACUGGCUGCAGAAAUCAGGAGAAUUUUUGGUUCUUGCUGGGCUUGAUGCGGAGAAUGAAAUUUUUCACACGCUUGCAUUUUUAGCUGGUGUUAUGUUUUGGUCACAGGUAAAUGUGAAAUUUUUAUUUCAGUCGCAGUUUUCUUGAACUAGUACUGCUUAAUGUAAGAUUGAAUGUAGAUUAGCCUUUCUACCUGCCAACUAAUUACUAACAAGUCCGACAUAAAUAUUUUUGGGCCCUUAUCUUUUUGGGAACUUGACUUUUGGAAAAUUAAAUACUGGUGAAAUCCUGUAUCAAAGAAAGCUGUGCAGACUUGCUCUUGAAAUGUUGAUUCAAAUAGAAUAUUUGAUUAAGCUGCUCAAAUUGGCUCAAUAAUUAUGAACAUUUAUCUACCUUAUGUUUGACUGUUGAUAUCUUAAUCCUAAUUUUUUUUCCAUUUUUUAAGUGGUAGAAACUUCUUGCUGUGCAUAUGUAGAGCUUAGUAAGUUUUAAUGUCAAGAAACGUUAAUAUUUGGGGAGAAAAGAUUAAUUAUGACGACUAGAAAUCUAGUGUGAUAGAAAAUUCUUUUUCACCCCUCUGCACAUUUAUUAGCUAGAUAUCUGAAAAGGACCAACUUUGGAAGCCCAAAUCUGAGAAACUCAAAGGAAGUUAUAUGGUGGAAAAGAAACUUUAUUUCCUAUCAAUUAGGAAGACUAGAAAGCCUCAAUACGGAUAAGACAGAAACUUCUUUCCUAUCCCUCUGCACAUUUAUCAGCUAGAUGUCUGAAAAGGGCCAAUUUUGGAUGCCCAAAGCAGAAAAACUUAGUACUACAAUUAUCAUGAAGAGUACCUGGCCCUUGUGGAUAUUUACUUGGAAGUUAUUUUUAAUUAUUGUUAGCUUUUGAUCGUUUUGAAUUCCUAUGCGAACUGCUAAAAUUGUUGUAUAAUGCAGAUUACAGAUUUGCCAUUUUCGUUGUACUCCACAUUUGUCAUUGAGGCAAGCCAUGGUUUUAACAAAGUAUGUACUCAGACCUGUCAUCUUUUAUGAGUUUUAGUUAUUAUAUUUGUGUCUGUCACUUGCAAGUUCUUUAUAGUUUCCUGGGUUCAUUCUUUGAUGGCUGUUGAAUCUCUUUUUUUAAUGUGCCUGGUGUAGCAAACAAUUUGGUUGUUUUUUAGAGACAUGAUAAAAGGAAUUGCUCUAGCUGUGGUGAUUGGUCCACCUAUUGUUGCUGCCAUCAUUGUAAUAGUACAGGUACAAUGGUCCUAGGGUUUACAUUAUUUGGUUGUUGCACUAUAUAAUGCAUGGCUGCUCUUUCUAGUGCCUUAACUAAAAUCUCUAAUGAUACUAACUUUUUGUCGCAGAAAGGAGGUCCUUACCUGGCAAUAUACUUGUGGGGAUUCAUGUUUGUUCUUUCCCUCGUGAUGAUGACGCUGUAUCCCAUCUUAAUAGCCCCACUGUUUAACAAAUUUACACCAGUAAGUGAUGCAAUGGAUUGUACCUAAUAUAGAGUUGUAAUGGUGCUGUUAAAAAAAGAAGAAUGGGAACAUUUUUCAUGAGACCUUUAUUUUGCAAAGUCUUAUGAAUUUGGUUGUGUAUUUCUUUGAACAAGCAGCUUCCGGAUGGAGAGCUUAGAGCAAAAAUUGAGAGUCUUGCUUCCUCCCUUAAGUUUCCUUUGAAGAAACUGUUUGUUGUUGAUGGAUCUACAAGGUCAAGCCACAGCAAUGUAAGCAUUUUACUUGUUGAUGCAUAGUUUCUUACAUUUUGCCUAAGUUAUAUCAUUUUGGAGGUUCUGCAGUAUAAAAAACUAUGGAGUUUGAGAUAGUCCUCUAUUGUGCUUAGCUUUUAUUUGUAUUUUCUGUUAAAAUUAUCUUGUCCUCCUUUGAAUUUUGUACGUGUGUGCAUUUUUUGUAGGCAUACAUGUAUGGGUUUUUCAACAACAAACGCAUUGUUCUUUACGACACACUGCUUCAACAGGUGCGGAGGUUACGUUUUUGGAACUUGUAGUUAAUGACCUUAUUUACAUCUACUACUUAGCAUUUUUUGUUUAGUUUGGUGACAGUUUGUAUAACAAAAUCUCUGGAUAUUUAAAUUGUUUCAAUGUGCAAAUGCAACCUACUUUUUGCGUCUCGACAAGGACUUACUAAUUUGAGGAAUAAUAACUAAUAAAGUUGUUAUACUGGUUUAACCUGAACUUUGAAAAGCAAGAUUUUCUAAUUUUUCUUUAUUGAGUGAGUGGGUAUGCAAUAAUAGGGUUUGGAGGUAAAUUUUUGUCUAAAAUAUUCAAUCAGAACAAAAGUGAGAUUGAAUCUGUAUCCCCCUCCCCCGUUUCUUGGAACCUGAUUCUUGUUUCCAUAAUCCUUUUGAUUACAUUUUACUUACUGGACUGUGUGAUUUAGUGCAAGAAAGACGAGGAAGUAGUUGCGGUUAUUGCACAUGAACUGGGGCAUUGGAAGCUAAACCAUACAAUGUACUCUUUCAUUGCUGUUCAGGUAUGGGAUACACUGUCAAGCUAACAAUCUUGUUUGUCAUCUGGUUCAUUGUUUUCUCCUUUGUUACUUGGGCAGUUACAAUUUUUUGAGUGAUUUGCCAUUCUAUGGAAUGCAUGAAGAGAAUUGGAUGUUUGCAUAUCUCUUUGGUUCCUGAAUGUAAUUAGAGCCAAAAUUCCUGAAGUUGCUUGAAUUUUUUUUAUCUUUUUCUGUUUUUUAAUGCUGGAAAUUGUUUACUAGAGGCUGCUAUGUAAUUCUUGUAAUAGGUCUAUGCACUGCCUAAUAUACUAUAUGCUGUUUGGGUAGUGGGAUGAUGAGUAAGAGAUAAAGGUACUCUUUAGCUGAUUUUGCUCAUGGGCAAAGUAGUUGCCUGCAUCUAUUGGUUUUCUUAUCUGAUGUUAUCUUUACUUAUAUUAUUUUUUCUUGAGGUAAUAGCUAAGGCAUUACUCGUCUGUUUUACAUGUCUGUGUCAUGAGAGGCCAAUUUUUUAACCUUUAGUUGCAAUGUCUCGUCUCUGUUGUAUAUUUGUUACUGUUUGGUUCACAAAGUUUCUUAUAUGUGUCCUAAAUGUUUGAAAAACUGAUGAUAUAGAUUCUGCAUACUGUCUUUCUAUGUAUUGCAGAUCUUAACGUUCUUGCAAUUCGGAGGGUACAUCCUUGUGAGGAACUCCAAGGAUUUGUUUCAAAGUUUUGGGUUUGACACACAACCAGUUCUAAUAGGGCUCAUCAUAUUUCAGGUAAUAAAAUGCCUUGCAAUGGUUUCUUGAUAGGUGAUUUAUGCUCAAGCUGAUUUCUUGGUUAACCAUUUGCAAAAGCUACCUUGAUGGUAGUCUUAAUCUGAAAUGUGUUGAAGGUCAAAAGUCCCAUCUGCUUAGGCAAUGCGAUGAAACGAUAAUAAACAUUCCUAGUCAGUGCAGAUCCAUUAAGGUUAAAAUAGUGACUGAGAACUUCUAGAACAGAAAAACGGUGUCUUAAAAAUUGUUACCCAAACGAAUUCUUCUUUUUUUUUUUUAAUGCGUGGAUGAAGAGUACAAGUCUUGGAUUAUCAUAGACCAUCAUAUGUACACACAUAUGCAGCUUGACUUACCUUAGUGUUAGAUAAAUACAAUAGCUUUCUAAUAAAUUGUUUCUUCGAACAAGAAAACUGAUAGUUGUUUACUUGAUCUUUUUGGUCGUAGCACACUGUGAUACCUCUGCAGCACCUUGUUAGCUUUGGUCUUAAUCUUGUUAGCCGAUCCUUUGAGUUCCAGGUAACUUUCAAUCUGCAAAUUGAAUUUUGGGUCAUUGCUGUAUGACGGCUCUUUGCUGUACUUUCUUUUGAGCAUUGGGAUCAUAUCUUACUCACUUUUUGCUGUGAUUCCAAAGGCUGACGCUUUUGCUAAGAAGCUUGGUUAUUCAUUAGCCCUUCGAGCCGGUCUUGUUAAAUUGCAGGUAACUGCCCUUCAAAUUCUCUUUAAUUACCUUUUCCUUGUAAAACGAUGAUGAGGGGGGUUUUUUUUUGCAUGUCAUGUGCUGAAGUGCAUUGGUACAAAUAAGUGUGAUAUGAUUAUCACAUGGCAUGACUUUUUAGGUUUUUCAUUCAUGCAAAUGUAUAAUGUCUGGUGAGGAUUGGUUUCGUGAAUUCCUGACUUGGUAUGAUGGCUUUGUAGGAGGAGAACUUGUCUGCUAUGAAUACGGAUCCUUGGUACUCGGCUUAUCACUACUCUCAUCCUCCCCUUGUUGAAAGACUGGCUGCUCUUGACGAACCAGACAAGAAGGCAGACUGAAGAAAUAAACAUUUAUGACUUUUUGAGUGUAGAGUUUAUGUUUACUUAGUGCCAAACUGUAGUCAAUCACGGGAAUCUUUUCUGUAAUUUUGCUUUUUUCUGGUAACAUCUGUUGUUGACAUCUACUUUUUGUUUCAAAAAGUGCCCCAGUGUUAAAGACGGCUGAGUUUGGGAGGAAUAGCAACAUGGUAGGGAAAUACUAGCAUAGUGGCAGUAGGACGAAAUGACUCUUACAAAUGUCUCUGCUAUCAAAAGAAAAACAAUUUUCGAGUCCUCAGCUGGUACAAAAUCACGAGUCGUUACUCCUACUCAUGAAGUUUCUAGGUAUUCAUGAAAGGGUUUUUUUUGGCCAAAUAGUAACAUUGAAAAAGAAUAGUGGAUCAACUAUGAAUGCUUUAAAGUUAUCACUCAGUCCUUGAGUUGCAGUAAUAUCUUUGCACAAGAAAUUUAUCAUUUAGCCAAAAACAUGCAUUGCUUUCAGUUCUUAUUUGGUGCCCUAAGGUCACCAAAUAGACAAACCCUUCAUGAAGAGGAGGGAGAUGAACAAUAUGGCAGCCACAUUUGGAGAGUCCAAUAGGUAGAAGCAUAGAUUAUCCGGCCUAGAAAACUGACCAAUGAUUUAACAGUUGCUGUAAAAAAGUUCGUCAUGCUUCUUGCUGGAAGAAUAGCGGCGGAUGGACUAGUGUUAUCCUUGUGCUAAGUACUGGGAUUUCUACUUUCCAGGUUCGGCAAUUUGGUAAUCUUAGCAAAUCGAUUGGAUUAACCUAAAAUCCUUCCCCUCCUCAGCUUCCAACUUGAUGCGUCCAUUGUUUACUCUUUUUCAACUUUUUCUCUAUGGAUUAGCAUACUCUGCUAUACCAUCCCAUUUCCCAUUACCCUCUUGGAAAGUUGAUGCAAUGAGCGUGCAGUUAAACCAAUAACUUUAGUUACUUAGCACGCCCUGAUGGCCAUUUUCUUAUUUGAAAAAUCCUAUGCCGGACGACACGUUACUGAAGCACCUAUUUGAUUUUAGAGAUUCUCAUGUCUGUAUCUAUCGCUGAGUUGUUUUUUCAUAAGUGGAGUCCUUCUUAUUUGUAUGCCUUGGAUUGUGUACUUCUUAAUAUGCGUGUUACCGCCCUGUAAUUGGAAUCACAAUUCUACACAAGCUUCUCCUCACAGUUGAAAUUUGCACAGUAUGGACUUUUCUAACAAGAAAUUCAAGGAAUCACAGAAAAAUCGCUCUCAGUUCAAGGGGAGGAAAAAAAACCAAGAAAAAAGUUGGUUGAAGAAAAUGAAAGCCAGAGCCAGCAAAUGCCGAUGGAUGAAUGCUUCCUUCCCAGAGAAAGAAACGACCCGUUGCAUAUGACGGCCAACAAACAUUAUUAUCAGCAGAAGAUAAGCAAUAAAUUCCAAGCAAUUAUUAUUGUCUCAUUAGUGAACCUUUAAGUAAGCAACAUAUAUAAAGUGACAGCUAGCUUACUUACCCUAAAAUAAUAAUAAAAAAUUAAAAAGGUGACCGCUAACUUAGUACUGGGUUACUUAUUUAAUUCCAUUCAAUAGUCAAAGAGCAUUUUAUCUUGAGCAAACUUAAAACAAAUAUUAUGCGACCUACCUAUUAUGAUGGCCAAGUACGUACAAUGAUUAGGGAUAGUAUUCGUACUAGUACUAAACUACUAAUCCAUCAUUAGAUUUAAACAAAUUUUAGAAUGUGUAUCUGCUACUAAAUCAUGAGUCAUGACCAACUGAUGCGUCCAAAUACAAGAAUUACGAGAGUACUGUACUUGUCACUUAGUUCGUACGUAUUGCAGCCCUCAUCAUUAUUAACAUAUAUCUUGUCCUUUAUUUUAUUAACCUAAGAACUACAAAGGAAAAAAAAAAUUCGUUUAGUGGCCCAUCUCUCUUAGCCAUCAAAAUGAAUGCUGAUCUAUUUGGCUUCCAAAAGGAAAAAAAAAAUGCAGAUUGACUCCCAUUGAGUGAUUGGGUGAUGGGGAUUACACUAUUCCUCCUAUUCAAUAAACUAUUAACACGAGUAAUUCUUCUUGUUAUUCACGAAGCCCAUUAAUCAAACCUGCACUAGCCUAGCGUAGUCUCGCUUCAAAUCAUCUAUUCCGGAUUUUGUUUCUGUCCCGUCUUUAUUUAACUGUCACAUGUAUUAUGCUGCUGGACUUAUUCUCUAAUAAAAUUCUAAAAGUUAUUGAUCGUUGGAUUUAUCCGUAAUAGAUUCCUAAGAGUUAUUAAUUAAUACACGUGAUAAUUAAACUCGGACGUAAUCUGGGACAGACGGUUUCAAGCAAUGUAGUCUUGUCUAAAUGCCGUAGUGUAGGACGUGCAGGGGAGUGGCAUUAGGGCAUGGAUCUUAUUUAAAGUGACUCCAUUACUAAUUCUUGGGUUAUUAUCACUUUACCCUUUAAACUAUAUCACUACUAUCAGUUUACCCUCUAAUAUUAUCUUUUAGUUACUUUACCCCCAUAAGUAAUUCAACUCAACGUGUUAAGAAAUUUUGGACAAAUAUACCCUUUUUAUUUUAUAGCAUUACUACAUUGUUAUUAUCACUUUAUUCGUUUAGAUUAUAGUGAUAUAAUCACUUUAGUUCCUAACAUUAUUUUCUAGACAUUUUACCUCAUCGUUAAUCUAACUAGUAUGGUCAAAAAAUUUGUAACAUAUUUACCCUUUUUUAUAUGUAAUUAAAAAUAAAAAAGUUGGAAUGAUUAUUCUUCCUUUUUUUUCACUUUAAAAGAUCGAAAAACAUAAAAAUAAAAGGGUUUUCUCAAAUUUCUUUCUUUCACAUUUAUUAAUAUUAGGAGAAGAAAAAGAGAUAAGAAAGAAGAAGACAAAAAAUUAGAUUUUGCAAAAAAAAUAAAAUAAAGAAAAGUCUAACAUUAUCGUAUUAGUUUAAGGUUGUCGAGACUAGGAUUGGAAUUUGGUGGUAAACAAAAAAGUGAAAUAAUUUUAAAAUAAUAAAAGUAUUAAUUCUUUUUUAUUUGUAAUUUUUAAAAAAAGAAUUGAGCUCUCUCUCUCCCUCUCCCCCUUCCCUUCCCCCUCUCCAUCUUUCUAUUUUUUUUCAACAUUAAUAAGAUUGUCAAGAAGAAAGAAAUUAAUACGUUGACUUUUUUUCUUGAUACUAAAAAGGAGAAGAGUCACUUUAAAUUAUUAUUAUUAUUAUUAUAUAAAGAGAAGGGUAUUUUCUUCUAAAAUUUUUUAACUUGCUAAGUUGGUUUAAUGGUACGAUAAAUUGCCUAAAAAAUAACUAUAAGAGGUAAAUUGAUAAUAAGACUAUAUUUUAUGGGAGUAAAGUGAUAAUAAUUUUAAGGGUUAAACAUGUCUUUUCAUUCUAAUUAACAAAUUCCAUUAAGUUUGACUGUUAGUCUUGGGAGUAAAGUGACUAAACGAUAAUGUUAAGGGGGAAAUUGAUAGUAGCACCAAAUGUUAAGGGGGUAAAGUGAUAAUAACCCUUAAUUCUUACUAUUGAAAGGCUUGAUUAGUGGAUUACCUACAUCUACGGCAGUUAAUGCUAUUUAAUUAAUUCAUUCAGUCAUCCUUCAUUUACGUGAUACUAAUUGCUAAACCAAUACACACUGCUAUUAGUUAAUGCUACUAGUUGUUGAUUGCGACACCAAUUUGGGGGUUUCCACGAACCAGGUGUUAAAUUUUUGAAAAAAUAAAGUUAAUUAAGAACAACAUAUAAAUACAAGAAAAGGUACUAGUUAGUAUUAAUGUGUGUAUUCAAAUAGUAGUAAAAUAGGCGUAAUUUAAGCGUGUUAACAAAAGUUUACUAGGCAAUCGUUAGAAAAAUCUUAUUACUUAACGUGAGUUUUUUUUCUUCUAGUAUCAAAUUUGGAAGAAAAUAUAGGUUAUUCAAAUAACUCAUGUCGCAAAGAAAUAGCUAAGACAAUUUACAUCUUUCAACUCCUCUUAUUUUACUUUUUAUCCAUUCUCUUGAAAAAAUCUUUUGGUAUUUUAUUAAGAGUAAAUCUUAUAUACGUUGAUAGUGUAUAUACUAUCAUGAUUGGAUAGACGGCAUAUAUAUAAAUUUUGAUUUUCAAGUUUAAAUUCAGAUUAUAUGUCAUGUAUUUAAUAGUAAAAGUGUAUAUACUGUGUCAAUAUAUAGAAAAUUAAUUCUUUUACUAAAAUGAAUGAGUGAAAGAAAAAAGUCUAUUCUUGUCAUCAUUAACUAAUCAAUGCAACAAUCUAGAUCUCAUCAUUGAGGAAAAAGAGAAAGAAAACGUUCUUUAUAUGUGUUCUUCUGAUAAUUCGAUACUAACUACUGCACAGUUUACUUUCAUUGGGAAUCUUAAAAAACAAAAAAAGUUCCAAGACUUCUCCUACAUUAUUUUCCUAAACAAAGUAAGUUCCUAUACUUAAAUUAGCCAAUCACAAGUUAUCUCCUACCGAAUAAAGGUGUAUACUUAAAUAAGCCAAUCACAAGGUAUCUCAUCCCCGUGAAUCCUCCAUUCCGGACCACAGGCAUUCCAACGAAUUUUCUGUCCCACUUCUUGACAAUCUCUAAUCUAUUUUUUAUUAUAUUAUUAUUAUUUUUUAUAAACAUCAUAUUUUAAUUUUCUUAAUUUUCUUAAUAUUCAAUAAUUGUUAAUUAAGUAAAAAUAAAUACAAAAGUCUCAAAAAUAUAUAUAAUAAUAAAUUAAAAAAUGCAACAAGAAAUUCAUAAAAAAUCUCAUUUUUUUAUACAUUUUGUUUUUUGGCAAAAUAGAAGAUUCCUUGCAACUCCUGGAUCUCAUCUAACAGUAACACUUGCUUUCCUUACUUUCCUUUCUUUUUUUUUUUUGGGGGGGGGGGGGGGGGUGGAAAGAUUGCCUUACUUUAGCCUCAUUGUUUGUUUCUAAAUUCUAAUCCCUACCGUUAAAAUGGGCCCGUGAAUCACCCAAGUCCAACGGACCUCGUGAUUAAGAGCUUCCUAGCACAAUUAUGCUGUUCUCCACUCCCAAAAGUCCUCAAAAUAGCUCCCCGAAGAAAGGCAUCCUGGAGUGCCAACAUUUUAUCUUUAUUUUUAUCAUUUUUUAGAUUUAUUGUAAUUAAUGAUUUCAAAAAAAAAUAUAUAUAUAUAUUAUAUUUGAUGUAUGUUCUACCAUUAAUACAGAUUUAUAGAAUAAAAAUUAUCUUUUUUUAAAUCAAAAAAUCCUCAAAAUAGCUCCUCAGUAUUCUUCUCAUACAUCUUUUUUUUUUUUAAGCCGAUUUGAAAACUCCAUAAUCAAAGAAUUGUGAUGUUUUUUCUACCCUAAAAAAGUUUUGUUUUGCCAAAAGGUUAAAAUUAAAAAGUUUGUGCGUUUGGCAGAAAGUAAGAAACUUGACAAGUAAACAUUGGCAAUGGAGUGGCUUUGGGAUAGGAGAAACUCCGCCCGACUCCCACUUUACAAAAGUUCCUCCGGCCCCAUCCCACUAUUAUUAUCUUUAUUUAUAAUCAUUAUAUAUAUAUAUAUAUAUAUAUAUAUAUAUCUAAUACAAAUAGUUUUUUUAUUAAUCAUUACUUUGAAAUUUCAGCAAAAUAUUACAUCAUUUUAUUAUAACAACGUAACAUGUUACUUUUCUUUAAUGCGUUGCUUAAUUCAUACAAAUAUAUUUUUGUAAUAACAAUAACACAGCAUUAAUUUCAUAUUAUACAUAUAAAAACAUACAUAAAUGUUAUACUAUAUUAAAAUUUAGGCGAGGGGAAGGGUAGGGGUAUGUUCCUCUGUCCUCCAUCCUAUUUGGGGUGGGGGGAGUUCGGAAAUCCCUUUGCCCCACCCCAUUUUUUCACUCACGGGAUUGGAAUUCACUCUGUUAUCAUUCCUAAACAUGUUUUAUAUAGCAUUUUAGAGUAGUUAUAAUAUGAUUAGGGGUUUUGGAAAACCUACAAUCCUUUGGUUGCAAUUUAUCUUUGGAAAAUCGUCAUUCUUUUGACAACUUAAAUGGAAAUAAACCUCUGAAAAUUUAAUGCCUACAUCCCAUUUGAUAGUCAAUUACUAGCAUUUCAACUUUCUGCUAAACACUUUCGUUGUAGGGUAUGGUAGAGUCUAAAUUUUUUGAACAUUGAAAUGGUAAAUUUUGGUACUUUUUUUUAAAAAAAAAAUUUAUUCCAACAACGGAGAUUUGGGAUUUAAGUUUCAGAAGGGAAAGGAGAAUUUGAACUUAGAUUCUACAAGUCUUGGUAAAAUUUAGAACCUAUGCUUUUUUUUUUUGUAUACCCAAACCGUAAAGGAUUUUAAAUAUAUUUUCCUAUAACUUUGAUAUGUUCUGCUGCAAUAUUUUUUUUUUUAUAAAGAGUUUUGGAUGUAUUUUACGUGUAGUGUUUUACGGGAUUCUCAUUUGAUCCCUUGAUCUUUUUUGCUUAAGGGUAUGCCCCCUUAUUAUACUUGCUCAUCAAUGAAAAUUUGUACAACUUGGAGAAAUUUUUUAAUACUUGGCAUGAUUUUCUUUAGCGAAUAUAAAGUUCUAUAGGAAUUUAUGUAGUGUUAAAAGUUGCCUUAAUUUUUUUUUAUUUUUAACAAGUGUAAUAUACGAUGGACCGAUUUCAAGGUAUCUUUUUAUAAUUUCAAGCAAAAAAAAAUUUUUUUUUUCAAAAAGGAAAAGUCGAGCUUGGGCAGUUUGUUGCACUAGUAGCUUAUUAUAAUUCUUUAAAAAAAAAAAAAAGCUUAUUAUAAUUCAAAGUGGAUUUGGGCAUCAAUUUGAGUUUAAAUUAAUUGGUCUAUCAAUUGAUUUAAUUAUAGCACUAGUAUUUAAGGUUAAUUGUUCAAUCAACAUAAAGCAAAACCCUACUAAGUAGACUACUUAACCAACAAUAAUUAGGCAAAGCCACCUCCUAACGUCAAAUACACAGAGAGAGUAGUGUCUCUGUGAAUUACUACAAAACACAGCAAAUCUUAUUAAGACCAGACAGUGAGAAGUGAGAACACACACUCUCGCACACACACUCUCUCUCUCUCUCACACAGACAGUGAGAGAAAGAAAGAAAGAAAAGAUUCUCUCCCACACACAACUCUCUUUCCCAUUUCAUCUUCUCCAAGAUUUCUCAUUUGUUCACUGCAAAGCUCGCCUCUUUAAUUUGCCUGACCUCGCCGGAAAACAAGACCCCCCCCCUGCAUUUUCGGGCAAACAACAUCCACGUUUACUUCAGCAUCCGGGCAGGCAAUAUAUAUCCCAUUGAUUCGAUGACACCUCAUAGCUUCCUUUGAUUAUUUCAAGCUUGAUAAUCCCAUUGUUUCUCCUAGUAUUCGGCCGGAUCCCACUUCAAGUGUACAUGCACAUUUACAUAAUUCAGAUGAAUAUUGAUAGCUUAUCAGUACAAUAAGAGACGACAGUGACAGCUGCAGCGGCUAGUAUAUAGUGAAGAGAUGUCGGUGUACGAUGCGGCGUUUGUGAACAGCGAGCUAUCUAAGCCAACCUCCAUAUUCGGCCUGCGGUUAUGGGUGGUAAUUGGGAUUUUUGUGGGAGCCGUGAUUGUUCUAAUCCUUUUCUUGUUGUCUCUUUGCAUCACCGCCUAUCGCCGCCGCACCAGCAGCACCGCUAAACUUCACCAUCCCGGAAAGUUUUCUGGUGCAGCCGAGCUGACCCCAGUUGUUUCCAAGGAAAUCCAAGAGAUCGUUCAUGAUUCCCACCCCGAUCACCGCCCCAUUGUCCCUCAGGCAUGUCUUCUUUUAUGUCUACUUCUUGCUGUCGUGAUACUAAUAUAUGCUAAUUUACUGCUAUUAGUUCUUAAUUUUGAAGUAUGAAGAAAAAAGAGUACAUUUUUAAUGACAAAAUGUUGACCAAAUUGAGUUGGGAUUGUGGAGUUUCUUUUCGAUCUUUACUUCAUCUACAAAUUUGUUUAAUUUGUUUUGGCAUAAGGAUAUGCAUUAUUGCUGAGUUUUGUUUUAUUUUGCUUUUUCUUUAUGAUGAUGUAUAGGCGUUGCCUGAGAUUCAGAUAGACAUGGGGAAGGUUGAGCACAGGGUGGUAUUUUCGGACAGGGGGGCAUCGAGUGGGGAGAGUAAGGCAACAAGUGGGGCGGAGACAGGGUCGUUCGGUGGUAGUGGGGCAUUGCCAGAGGUGUCCCAUCUGGGGUGGGGAAGGUGGUACACUUUGAGAGAGCUCGAGGCAGCUACCGAUAGGUUGUCUGAUGCGAAUGUGAUUGGAGAAGGUGGAUACGGGAUUGUGUAUCAAGGUAUUCUGGCUGAUAAUACCAGAGUUGCCGUGAAGAAUCUGUUGAAUAACAGGUAUGGGAACUUACAACUAAAUUAGCUUUAAUGAACUGUUGGUUUGACUUUGGCAAGAGUAUGAUAGAUAAUCAGAUGGUAUCAUAAUGGUAUUCCAGGCAUUGCAUACAGUGUAUUGUCACUAUAACUGCAUGUCUCCAAUAAUAGCAAUGAAUACGUGUUGCUAUUUAGGAAUUUUUUUACUCCGGAGGAACCAUUUGUUUUUUUUUUGUCCUUGUUACACCAUUUGGCAAGUUAAAUUUAGUAUUUGUAAUUGUCAGUUUUCGCUUUUUUAUGCUUGUCUUGAACAAGUUUGAUUUGGACUUUAAAGCAAUCUGCUUUCAGGUGAAUAUGCUUCAAUUUCUAUAUACCGUGAAAAGUGCGAAUUUUACAACACCAAGAUGUAGUAUGCUAUUGUAUUUAGGACAUAAGAUCUAAGCACUGUUUGGAAUGGUUCUAUUGUCGUGGGGUGCGUGAAAAUGAUAGCUUUGGCGGUUUCAUGUACUGGACGUUGGCUUUUGGAACCUUCAUCCUCACUUCAAACAGUAAAAAGAAUGUCCUUUUUUUCUUUUGCUCAAAAUAAGGGAAUUAUAGUUUUGUGUUGUAGUAGCAGUGCAUUAUUCUCCCUUCCUCUCAUGCUUAAACUCAUUGGAGUAAUGACUAUCAGGGGGCAAGCAGAGAGGGAGUUUAAGGUUGAGGUGGACGCUAUUGGGCGAGUGAGGCACAAGAAUCUUGUCAGGCUGCUGGGAUACUGUGUCGAAGGAGCUUAUCGGUAAUGAUAUGCAUCUCAGUUGAAGAAUGCACUUCGAGUUAUUAUUAUCCCAAAAGAAGCUGAUUGACAUGUUGUGCUUGUUCUUUUUGUGCAGAAUGCUUGUAUAUGAGUACGUGGACAAUGGGAAUUUGGAGCAGUGGCUCCAUGGAGAAGUAGGGGAAGUCAGUCCUUUGACUUGGGAUAUACGGAUGAAUAUAAUAUUGGGAACUGCAAAAGGGUAUAGACUUUAGAUUUGUACUUCAUCAAAUGUCCAUUGUUUUAUUUGAGUGAGUUUCUUGCGUGAAUGUUGUCUGCUUGUUUAAAACUUUAUUUCCUGACCCUUGCAGUCUGGCAUAUUUGCAUGAUGGUCUUGAGCCAAAGGUUGUUCACCGUGACAUUAAAACAAGUAAUAUACUACUUGAUAGUCAGUGGAAUGCCAAGGUGUCAGAUUUUGGACUUGCAAAGCUGUUAAAUUCUGAAAGGACUUAUGUGACAACUCGUGUCAUGGGCACAUUUGGGUUCGUUAAUUUCAUUUCUGAAGUAGCUUACUUGUUUUGUCAUAUGACGUUGAAGUUUUGCUAAAUAUCAUUGUUUUCUAGUUAUGUGGCACCAGAAUAUGCGUGCACUGGCAUGUUAAAUGAGAAAAGUGACGUUUAUAGCUUUGGAAUACUUAUCAUGGAGAUAAUUACUGGUAGAUCUCCAGUUGAUUAUAGCAGGCCACAGGGAGAGGUUAGUACUCAAAUUUAUGCAUAUCUCAUAGAUUCCCUUGUUUUUUUUUUUUUUUGCAUUGAACUUCUCAAUCACCUCUAAAAUGGAAAAUGGUAAACUACUGACAGGUUAAUUUGGUGGAUUGGUUGAAGUCCAUGGUUGGAAAUCGAAAAUCUGAGGAAGUGGUGGAUCCUAAGUUGCCAGAAAUGCCUAGUUCAAAAGCACUUAAACGUGCUCUUCUGGUUGCCCUGAAAUGUGUUGAUCCUGAUGCCCAUAAGAGACCAAAAAUGGUGCACGUAAUCCACAUGCUGGAGGCAGAUGACCUGCUGUUUCGUGAUGUAUGCAUCUUAUUCUCUCUUUUUCUUCAUCCAAGAACCGCUACAUCUGAAUACAAGAAUACACUUACUAGGGGGUCCUCCUUAUUCACUCUCUAGAUUUCUCACUACUUGCAUACUUACCUCCCUCUUUUUGUUCUCCCUUGAUCUUCAGGAACGACGAAUUGGCAGAGAAUCUGCUGGUUCAAAUCGUGAGUACAAAGAAAAUAAUCUUGCUGGUUCCAAUCGUGAGUACAAAGAAAAUAAUCUUGCUGGAGCAAAACUAGUCAACCAACCAUACGGCAACGGUGCAUCUAAUAAUAGUGAAGGUGACAAUGGUACGAGCCAUGACUUGCCAUCUAGGUGGAGAUAAUAUUACGGAUGGGAGAUGUCAGUAAUAAUGUAGGUUUAUGCAAAUUUUGAUGCUUGCUAAUAAGCUUAUUGCUCUCAUUCCAUUAGUUUUGUAGGAUUUGUACUAGCUUCUUCUUUUUUUUGUGAUAUAAAAAUAUGAAAUCACCAUUGGAUUAUGCCUCAUAAGUUAUUGAAUCAGGUUUUAUUGUAUGCUAGAUUGGUUGACUGUUUUGUACUACUUAGAAACUAUAAGUCGCAUUGUAUGUUUCCAUGCUUGGACAGAGUAUACCACAAGAAGGCAUACUUCUAAGGAUUUGGGGCAGGGACGGUCAUCAGUAUGACCGUCCCUGCACGGUUAAAAAUUUGUGCGGCUGAAAAUUGGCCCUCAAAAUUUUGUGCGGCUGAAAUAACACCAUGUAACUCGAAAUCCGCGCCAAGUGUGGGGCCCACCACUAUCUGUUGUGAAAAUACAUCCUGUGAAAAAAAAGUUACGCGCAGUUGAACCAAUGUUACGCGCAGUUGAAAUGAGCUAAAAUUGGCAGGACGGUUGCAGCCCCGAGUCCUACUUCUAACCUUCUCAUUUUUCUACUGCAAGUUCAGUUGUGUACUUGUCUCUGUUUCUCUGUUAUGUUAGCUAGGUUGUCUCAAUCUGUAUGCCGUACUCUAUUCUUUUUCCGCCGCAAUCCAUGUCGAUCUCAUGACAGGUUAAUUAAGUGCAAAAGUAUCCAUCAAACAUCAUCAGAGCAAGCGCCGUGAUCAUAGGUAUGCAUCAGUGCCCCACUGAGACAGAGCAACUAUAUGGGAGGGUGCGAAAUGUACAGAAAAUAAGACUCCAGACUCCAAAUAUCGGAUUAUUAUAGGGUGGUGGAGCCUUUGGCCAGCGAAUUUGGUUCAAGCCAAUUCAUUGCAACUCCCCCGUGUCUUUCUCAAUUUAUGUAUUGUAUGCCCUGGUUGGUGUAGGAUAAGUCAGGCAAGCAAAGCAUAUUCCAGAGUGGAAAUGGGGUCAUGGGAUUUUUCUUUCUUUUUUCUUUAUUCAAACUCACUUUCAAUGUCUUGGCUGGACAAUUGGACAAUGUGCACUGCCUUUGGAGCAUGACAAGGACACCUACAGUUUACAUGGUGUACAAGUGAGCUGUCUGUGGCUGUAUGGGGCUACUUUCUUUCCUUCAAUUGGUCCACAUUCUUUACUAGUAACUGAUUCUUUUUUCUUUCUUCAGAAGAGUAGGGUAUUAGUCAUUUCGUACCAGGAUGAGGAAAUAAGACACCACCUAAUUAGUGGGCUGUAGUCGGUUCAAUUGGAUGCUGCUACUAUGGUUCCAUUUGGUUCAAGGGCCAAUUGCAAACGUUACAAGGAAAACCAAAUCUCAAGGUCAUCCAUUUUUCUUCUGUUUUUUUGUGCGGUUGCAUUUCAUCUCUCUGUCACGGUUCUGUUACUUAAAACAAUAGGUAACUCUCUACAUUGAGCAGAGUCAGAAAUUUCCUAACCCAUUUCGUGAUCACAUUUUCUUAUUACCUUUUUUUCUCACAUACAUUAAAUCGCUACAAUAAUUUUUCUACAAAAAAUCCUAAAAAAUACAAUCCAAACAAGGCUAAACAAACCUAUUUAAUUAAGUUUAUUCAUACCCGUCCAUGAAUAAAUGGGUAUAAGUAUCUUAAAUUUUUACAUAUGAGUAUUAUUGGGUAACCUAUCAAACCCAAUUAACCCAUUUAGAAUUAUCUUCUCCCAAACCUCCUCUCUUCCUCCACCCAUUUUUUUUUUCAAAUUUUUCAUUUUGUCAUGAUAUUAACUACUUUUGUUUUAUUAUUAUUAUUAUUAUUUGUUGGUUUUAUCUUAUCAUUUUAUUUUCUCUUAGUUUGUUAACUUGCUCAUUUUUCAGCAUUACCAAUUUAUGACAAAUUUUAGCCUCUUUUCUUACUUUUCCAAAAUGAAAUUUUAAAUUUACACACGAAAAAAUGUUAGAAGUUCAAAAUUUUUGGAUUAAAUUUUUAUGUUAACUUUUAUAGUAUUUAGUUCAAAUUUUUAUAUUCUUAUUGUUUAAUUAUUAAAUAGUAUGUAAUUUUGCAACAUAGAGUACGGAUGAAAAAAAAUUGAUAAUUAGAUUUAUUGAGUAUUAUAAAUAAAUAUUUAAAACUAAUGAUGGGUGCAAAGGAUGGUAUAAAUUGAUAACUUAGUUUGCAAAAAUGAAUUUAAAUGAAUUUACAAAAAAUUAAAAUAAAUGGAUUAUAAAUGGGUAAUUGAGUUACCCAAUUCAUUUUUUGACUUACCCAUUUAUACCCAUCUAAUUAAAUAGACAUAAAUAAAUUGACUCACUUAUAUCCAUUACCCAUUUUACCCACUCAUCCAAAUCACCCAUUUUGACGCCUCUAUCCUUUCUCAUGCCGUUCUUAAUUGGUCUAUACUCUAUAGGAUAAACAGCACUUUUACCUGCUAAGAAAAUGGAUUUUAUGUAGUACUAGUUUUAGACAGUAGUCUGCUAUUAUAUGUGUACGUGAUUAUUUAAAACCUGCAACCAGUAAAGAGAAGAAAAGUCAAAAGUGUAUCAUCCAUCAUCCAAUAAUUAGGGAAGUGUGUAGGUUUUAACCACGGGAGCAAAAGUAUUAAAUAGCUCUGGGAAUGCAAGUACAAUCAUUGAGCUGCUUGCGCGGAAGUGGGGGCAAGUUGCAGAUUCAUGUGAUGCGUUAAUUGAAAGAAGCAUUUUACAUAGAAUCCAGCAAGAAACAGCUCCAACUCAGCCUAAAAGGCAACUGAUAUUGACAUUAGAAUUCUCAAAAUACUAGUACUAAAUUUGCACCUCAAAUCAAUAGCUGAGACUCUAACAAUAGAUUAGAGUAGAAGUAAGGGUAGUGUCAAUUAACUAUGUGAAAAACAAAUGCUAGCACAUGAUGAAAUGAUGAAAUAGAAAUAGAAGGUUUGAACGCUUGACUUUUCAUCCCACAAAAGGCGCUUAAGGAUUUUAUAGCAACCAACGGCCGGAUAAGCAACCACUGGACCAAUGGCUCUCCUUGGACUGUAGGUUGAGGGUUCAAACCUCACCUGGACCCGUUGUUUUCCACUUCUUCCUUUCUCCUCGUUCUUUUUGUAGGAACAGGAAAAAAAAAUGGGAAAAUGAAAGUUUUUUAUUUUCCCCAAGCUUAUGUGCCCAUUAAUUCAGGGGGUACAGGUCCAAUAUGUACGUAGGCCCAAAUGUGGAUGGAGACCCAUAUAUACAUAGGCCGAAAAGAUGAAACUACAAUUCGACCUCUCUCAAGAGUCGAGUCCAUAAUCAGUAUGGAGAUAUUUCUAGAAUUUUCUUCACCAUUGGAUGGUAAUCUGGUAUUUCCAGAUUCCCUUGACCAUGAUGAAAGAAGUGGAAGGCCUAGAUGGACGGUUUCCACACUUUCCAGUGUUGUACAGAGUCGACCACACUUGUACCAUAUGACCCCGAUUUUAUGCGAAGAAAUGUGGACGAAGAGUAUUGGAGAAAUAAAUUCAAACAGUUUAACUUAAUGCAUGUUUUAUCGGAUUUAUGAUUUCUAAUGCAUGUUUAACUUAUCAUUAGGACAGUAAUGUAAAUCAAAUUAUCAAAUUGUACUAGACGAUUUUCAGCAAUCUAUUAGUAGAAUUUGCUUUUUAUAAAAAGUAGGAUUUGUACACAAUGUCCAUCAAAUACCAUGUUGAACAAAAUGAGGAAUUUGUUAGUGCAAUUAAACUAAAUUGAUCCUUGAACGGAUUUUUGUUUAAGCCAUUUCAUGAUAAAUAUUUCAGUAUACGUUUCCACUUGCACGUGUAAGCAUCUUCCCCAUCUGGUCAACCACUAAAUAAUGUUGUUAAAUUCGGACCGGAUAGCAAUUCGACUAAACUACUAGAUCAUGGGUCAACUGGUCGGAACAGUCAGAUCGUUCUAAAAAAUCCGUUUGACGUUAGCAUGAUGUCAUAAUUAUUUUAUAUUUUUAUAAGUUUUAAAAAUAUUGAAAUUAAGUUCUUGAUUAUAUUCGACCAAUCAUAUAAAAUGUUCCAAAAAUAUUAGACUUACAAUCAAAUAUAUACCUAAUAAUUAUAUAUAAAAAUGUAAAUUCAUGAAUAAAAUAUGUCCGUUCUUCAAAACUACUUGAAAAUUAAAUUAAAACAAAUUAAUGCAAGUUGAAAUUACUUAUGCUAAAUUAAUAAGAUUAUAGGGAUGAAAACAUUUUGAUUUAGAGAUUAUUCAGAAAAGUGAAUGAUCUUGAUAUUUAUACUAAAUAGGUGCCGUUUUCUUAUUCCUAUUAAUAAAUGAAACUGUUACAAUUUAGGUAAGGAAAAAUAAGAGAAAAGUUUGAAAAUUGGAUUAACUAGUCGAACCAAGUUAUUGGUUUAGCCGGUUUCGACUAAUUUUUUUUAUCAAAACGAUUUUGUGCUACAAACUAAUUCAGAAAGAAGGUCGAUUCAUGGUUGAACUGGUCAAAUCGGCCAGUCCAAACCAGGUCUAACAACACUACCGCUAAACAAGAGUUGUUUACUAUUUCUAAAAGAACACGAUUAAUUUUGGGAUUUUUGUAAAUCAUAAAUCCAACAUUUUUUUUGGUUUAAUCACUCAGCAAUAUCAAAAUUAAGUACAGUGUUAUUCUUGACAUGCACAUUUAAACUAGUUUAAGGGUCUAUUUGAUAACAUAACAAAGUGUUGAAACUGAAUUUUUUUAUACAUUCAGAUAUUUUGGGUGUUUGAUAAAUAAAAAUUGAUCUGUUGAAUUUGUGUGUACUUUUUUUAGCACAAGAAUCGUAAUUGAAUAUUUAAUUCUAAUAAGAAUCAACAUAUUUAUUUCAACUACUUUACAUUAGUGUGUUUGGAUUGUAGGUUAUUUGUCCAAAUAUAUUUGCUUACAUCACCAUUACAAUUUUCAAUACAUAUUUUUAUCUUCUCAAUUACCUGUUUAUCUCACAUACAUUACAUCACAAAAAGGUAAUUAGGUAAAAAUAUCUCAAAUAACUUACAAUCCAAACACACUAUUUGUUAAUUAGGAUCAAAAUUCUUAUCAAAUUUUUUUAUUCAAAAUUCUUAUAUAAUUCUGUAUCGAGGGAAAGGAAAAGGUAAGUGUAUGCAAAAAUAUACUAGCUAUUUGUGAUUUCAACAUGAUUUUCAUAUUCGUUUUUGCGUGUUGAAAAGGUGUAGCACAUGACUUUAGAGUUUUGUCAGGAGCCUUAGCAGACCCAACAUGCAACUUUCCUAUUCCUCCAAUAAGUUAAAUUUAUUUGAAAUAGUGUUUUUUUUACAAUAGUUUUCAUCCACAAACAUUUAUACUUUGAUAUAUAUAUAUAUUGUGCAAAUAGAUAUUAUUUAUGUGAUGCAGCUUAUCCAUACACACAUGGCUAGGCCUGUCAACGGUCCGGGUCUGGACCCGGACCCGGCCUGGAUCCGUGAAAUUAUUGCGGGUAUGGGUAGGGAUUUAAUUCCGUUACCCGGACCCGGACCCGGAUCCGGAUCCGUUUUGUCAAACAAAAAAAUGGAUCGGAUACGGAAUAUAGUAUUCCGACCCGUAUUAGACCCGGAUCCGAAUAUAAAUGGAUUAAUAAUUUAAAAUAUGUAUAUUUAUCAAUAUAAUUUGAUUAGGGUAAUGUAUUUGAAUAAAGUCAAUUUGAUUUAUUUUCUUAUUUAUUUUUUUUUGUAUUAGUUAGAAAUUAGUGUACAAAUAUAUUUUUUUCUCAUUUUUAUUAGAAAUUAUAAAAUUUCAUAAUUUUUUUCGGGUAGAUCCGGACCCGGAUUCGGAACAUAGAGUAGAAGACCCGUCGGGUAAACGGGUCGAAUCCGAAUCCGAUUUGGUAUGCCAGGUCCGGGUAAAAAAUAAUGAAUUCCGGGCCAGACCCGACUCGUUGACAGGCCUACACGUGGCUUUAUGGCACCAUAUCAAAAUAUUAGAUAGUGGUUGUCGAAUUUUCAAAAUGCUUCUCGUCCAAGAUCAAAAGAAUAACGUUUUAACCAAGUACAUGCAAAUUUGAGAAAUGUAAUUGAACAUAUUUUUGGAGUAUUAGAAGCUCGUUAUCCCAUUUCAAGAUGAUAAAACCAUAUCUUUUUUCCCAUGCAAAGAAACAUUAUUGUGAUUGUAUGCAUUGCUCUUCACAAUUAUUUGAGAAGAAUUUCUACAAAUGAUUAUUGGUUUCAACAAUAUAAUGAUAAUGAUGCUAUAAUACAAAAUGGAGAAGACGUCAAAGAUGACGAGACAAGCGAAGAAGUAGGAGAAGAAUCCAGACAAGCCGAUCAAUUAGUCAUACAUAACAUACAUGAAGAAAUUACAAACAAUCAUUUCUAAAUUUUUUAGGUCGGAUUUAGAUGUUAUAUGAAUUAUUGGAUUGUAAUAUUUCUUUUAAUGUUUUCUAUGAUAUAUUUCAUCUUUUAUAUUAAUUUGAUUUAAAAAUAAAUAUUGUCAUUUUCAUACCUUACAAUUUUAAGCUAAUUAAAUCAUAGGUUCUAUUUAUUUUUUGGAUGAAAAUAUAGAAGGGCAAAAUUGUACAAUUUAGCUUAUUAAGCAGUUAGUUAAAAAUGUUUAUCAAACAAUAUAAAUAGGUUUAGUAUUAAAAUUCAGCCUGUUAUAUAUUUCUUUUCAGUGCUUAAAAUUCAGCAAAUUAAUUGUUUCAGUGUUUAGAUUUCAAAAUUCAAAUUCAGUUUUAUCAAACGAAACCUAAGACACAUUCAAAGUUUAAAACUCAAACUGAUUCAUGUCAAUUAGAGGUUAAAUUACAGUCUUGAAAAAUGAUUGACGUCAAAUUGAAAUUUAUUAUACAAAAUUAAGGACAAAUUCAAUAGUUGCUUUAGAAUUUUCUAGUAAAAGGUCCGUACAGAAAUAGGCGUAUAAAACGGUGUAUUACCAAGAUUUCAGCAAACACGCCACAGCCCAUAACAUGUGAGCUCGGCCCACCGAAUAUCAACGGUCCGAUUCUGCCGACAGCAAUCUUGUAAUUUAAAAUUGAUACACCACUCAUACAUCAGCACGUAUGCAUUCCACGCAAAUUUCACAAACCCCGUGGUUUAGAUGUCGCCAGCCCCACCAAGUCCUCAUCUACUACUUCAACCCUAAAAAUUGCGAAGACUUUUUGGACAAAUUCUCAUCUGUUACGCGUCCCCUUCCCUACCACUUUCCUCGACGCUUCCGCUCUCUCUAUAUCUCUCGUAUCAUUUCCGGUACGGCCGCCUUUCAUUGUAUCUACAUAUAUAUGUUGUGUGAGAAUUUCAUAUAGGGCUGCUGACUUUAGAUGUGUGUACAGUGAGGGUUUCAUUUGAAAUUUUCGUUUUAGAGAUAAUUUAAGAGCGUUGACUGAUUAAAUCGGUCGUUUAAGUCGCAGAUCUACAUAAUCGGUGGGUAUUUUUCUUGUUUAUCGCUGAAAUUUGGUUAAUUUUGAUUAAGAAAUGGUGAAUAUUGUUUGUAUGAAUGAUUUUCUGGUGGAUGAGGGUUAGAUCUGUUUGAUUUGUGUUUAUACUCAGCUUCAUGGCAUGGAUCUUAGCUGAUUUUAGUAGAUACUAAUAUGAAGAGUUGAGUUAUUCUAUUUUAGAUGGUGGUGGUGGUGGUGGUUUUUUUUUUUAUAGAAAAUUUAAUGCUUUGUUGUUUGGUUGUGCCUCUUUGGUUGAGAAAUGAAAUCCUGGUUAGAUCUAGUCUAGGGUAUGUUAUUAUAUUCUAUCGCCUUUUCGGUUCUUUUGAAUAUAUCUAAUUUAUUGGUUUUUUUUUAAAUCUAUAUUUUCUUAGCCAUUUUCUUACAAGAAUAAAGAUGGCUUUUGCAAGUCUUUAGGAUUUUUUCAAUCUUAUUUCCAUAAGAUUGUUUAUAACUGUUUGGCUCGAAGGAUGAUCUGAAUUUAAUGGCAGGGUGCUCGUUUUAUUUAGUUCUAGAUUUUAUUUUGUUCCUUGGUGUUUGUUGUCUUGAUGUCGUGUGUUUCGUUGAAGUGUGCUUGUUAAAUAAUCUAGGUAUUGCUGGAAAUAGAUUGAGGGAGUUUAAGAUUUUCCAAAUACUCAUUUUGUUCUUUUUAAAUUUCUGUCCGUCAUAAAGAGGUGUAUUUUCAAAAUUUUGUCUCUAAAUUGUUUUUGCAUAAUCAAGGAUAUCUGAGUUUUAUACAUAUUUCAACUGUUUUAAACUUAGGUAAUUUCCCUGUUCGAUUAUGUUCUGAUUUUUUUGGGGGAUAACUAUUGUGCUUUCAGUGAUGUGUUGGCUUGUUAUUGGUUCUUUGGUGGUAAUUUGUACUGAAAUGGGCCUGUUUUGUCCGUGUAACAUGCAUCUUACUUGUCUUAAUGCUUGUGCAGUUAAUAGUCCAUUGAAAUGAGCCGCCCACAGGAUCCACACAGGCCUUCUUUUCCAUUUGGAAAUCCUUUUCGGAUGAUAAUGCCCAAGGGCUCAUAUCUUUCUCCAAAGCUUACUGAACUGUUGAACUCUUUCGAGGAGUCACUAGCUCAGCGGCUUAGAAAGCUUAUGCCUGCGGACAGGGAAGAAAUAUUAAGCCUGUUGUGGAUGAAAUGUGCUGUGGAGUCUCUUUCUGCUAUUCAUACGGACAUAAAGACCCUUAUCACUGGACUUGAACUCCCUGUCAGUGAUUGGGAUGAGAAAUGGAUUGAUGUAUAUUUGGAUAAUAGUGUGAAGUUGCUGGAUAUCUGCAUCGCUUUCAGCUCUGAACUUUCAAGGCUCAACCAAGGCCACCUAUUUCUGCAAUGUGCCUUGCACAACUUGGAUUGUGCUUCCUCAAAGCAAUUUGUGCGUGCUUGUUCAUCGCUGGAUGGUUGGAGGCAUCACAUUGGUUCAAAGAACCCCAGGAUGGAGAACUGUUUUUCCAUAUUGGACAAUCUUAUCAAGACACUUAACCUUCCUAAGAUUAAGAAUUCUUCCAAAGGGAAGGUACUGAUGCGAGCUAUGUAUGGAGUAAAGGUUGUCACUGUCUUUGUUUGCAAUGUGUUUGCUGCUGCCUUCUCGGGUUCUGCAGAGAAGUUGUUAGAUUUACAGGUUGAGGAGACUCGUUUGUGGGCAGAAGCUUUUGCAGGCCUGCAGGGCUUUGUCAACGGGGAGAUAAGAAGUAUAUACUCCAGUGGGAAGGCCACAGUUUUGAAAGAACUUGAAGCAGUUGAUGCAAAUGUAAAGAAGUUAUACCCCAUUGUACAGGAGGGGGUGGGUGAAGAGGCCGAAGCAUACAAGAAUUCAGUCUCUGAUCUAGGGAAAAGGGCUGAAAAACUUUCACAAGGACUAGAUCUACUUGCAAAGGAAGUGGAUGGUUUUUUCCAAAUUGUUCUCAGCGGGCGUGACGCUUUGCUUUGUAACCUUAGAGUUGGUACUAACGUUACUGACCAAUUACAAGAGAAAAAAAAUGUAGAGGUGAGGUGAACCUGAUGAUGGUCACUUCUCUCGUGUAAGCACCGUUGUAGUGAUGGGGUUGGCUGACGAUGUUUGCAGUAUUACUACAUUAUACGAGUGCGUACAUAGUGUUGAAAGGUGUGCGUUGUGUGCUACUGUGGUUAUGCGUGAAGCAUGUUUGAACUUCUGUGUAAUAGCAGCACUAUAUUGUAACUGUAUGUUUGCGCAUACGUGUUUUCAGAGCUCGGUCUUCUCCUGCUGUUUCUACGUCUGUUUUUUUUUAUUCCCCAUUUUAUCUUUACUUUUUUUUUUAAAGAGGAAUAGUCUCAAGCCCAAUGGGAAGCACAUUUUCCAGUCAUUAGCUAAGCUUUCCUCUUUCGUCUCCUGAUCGCCUGGUCAAGCCCAAUUUAUGAAUUCGAUUAAGGAUAAUUUCUUGUACAAUUGGAGAUGUCACAUAACAAUUUAUCAUGUUUUCAAAAGGCGAAGACGCCCUCCCUGGGUUAUAAUGUGAAUUGUUUAUCAAGUAGAAGGCAUUAUAGGUACUUUAUUAUGUCAAGGGAGAUAAACGUAAUUAUGUAAACUUGACGAGACCCGGGUGAAAUUAUCCCUUUGCAAUAAGACUACUUAACAUAACAUAGACUAUAGAGAAAAUAAUGCAAAAUAUAGAGAAAAAAAUAAUUUUGAUAAAUAAAAAAAAGAAAAAAAAAGUAUUUAAUCACGUGUGAAACUGUCCUACGGCUUUCUUGUGGCGAGAAUCGACCCACGAUCUUGCAGUAUUUCGCGAUCACGGCCAUGUUUAAUUUUCUUUCUUCUUGUGCUUCCUAUUCUAUUCUUGCUGGAGACCGAAGCUGGAAUUCAAAUCAGAGCUCCCCACUCGUCUUGGAAUCGUGCAAAAGCAGAGAGGAGAGAGAUAGACAUCCAAUUCCAAUCCAACAGAAGUAAAAGGAAAAAAAAAAAUACAAAAGAGACGAGGAAAGGAAAAGGGGAUCAAUGGGAAAGGGAAGCUUCCGUUGAAGUCUUAUUAGUCUUUUAUGAUGGCGGGCACCUUUGACCACAUGUUUUCUUGGUCAGAUAGAUUGUAAAUCCUUUCCUCCUAGCCUAGUCUGUGGGUCGGAUUAUCAAAAUACUCACAAACUUGUCAACGAAGUGAUGAAAUUCAACAAUCAGAUAAAAACCAAAUACAACGAGAGGAUAUUGAUCAUUAUUUUGACAAUAAGUAGUACCUAGUACUUAUUUUCUUUGGUGGUCGGUAUGGCACUUAAAUUUGAAGUCAACUUUCUUGCAUGGAUAAGUAGUUUAUAAACAUGAUGAGGCAGUAAUUGUAUUAUGUAGUACUCUAAACAAAGGCAAACUAAAAAUCAUUUAGGAAGGAUUAAAGGAUCACUCAGGCAGAGCCAAAGAGGAUUUCUCAUUUCUCGUCUACAGAAAAACACAAAAGCUGUUGUUGGAUUGAAAUUUAGCAGAAAACAAAAUCGCAGGUCCUUCUGUUCUGGGGAAUAGUAGGGGCCAGGUGUGUGGUGGAAUAUCCAUGUCUACAUUUAUGAAGGUUACAACGGCCAAAUCAUCAUAUCGAUAUCAUCACUCUCACAGAAAUUGUAAAGCUGAUAGGCCAUAUGAGUGCUCCUACUAGUAAAAGAAAAGAAAAAGCAAACCCACAAUUAAAAAGUCCAAUUUACUUCACGGGUUACCACCAGCCAUUCCAGUUCAAAAGUUCACACUUCCCAUUAGUAAUUACUUAACCCACCCCCCGCCCGCCCCUUUUCUCUUUCUAGAAAAUACUACGUAGUAGAAAAGAGAAAAGAAAAACAGUAAAAAGAAAUGUCAAAAAGGUUUCUUCCUUCUUCCACGGCUACCGACAAGUCUUUCAAGAACUCCAAAACCUGAGCAAAGACUCGACUUUUUGAGUUGGGUUUUUGCUGUUUUGAGUUGGGUUUUUGUUAUUUUUUGUUAAUUUCCAUUCUUUAGUUUGAUUUUAUAUAAGCGAAAAGAAAGAAAAACAGAAGGUAGAGGAGAAUUUGAUUGAUUAUGUCUGUAGAGUCGAGCUCAGGUUCAGGAGAUCACCACCAUGGUCAUAAUAUAAGAGGAGUGCCAACUCAUGGUGGGCGUUAUGUGCAGUACAAUAUCUAUGGUAAUCUGUUCGAAGUGUCAAGAAAGUACGUUCCUCCUAUUAGGCCUGUGGGUCGAGGGGCUUAUGGCAUCGUUUGGUAAGCGUAAAGCAGCUUUCUUUACGUGUGGGUUUUACCUAUUUGCUUAUGCUUUCGUGAUUGAAUCUGUUGACGCGUGGUGUAAGUGCUGAUUUUGGUAAUUACAUCAUAAGGAUCUCAAAUUGAUCUUCUUUGGUGUACAGUUGACGCUAAUUUCCACAGAAAAUUCUAAAAUUAACUUUUGUUAGAUUUUGGUAGUUUACAUAUUAAAAUUCAUUUUUGGGAAUUCAAUAGAGGUGUGAUACCUGCUGAUAAAUCAUUCAGAGAUGUGGUUUUAUUAGGAAAAGGAAUUUACAGUAUUUGGGUGAUCAUUUAGAGUUGGGAGCUAGAAUACAUAAUGCAUAUGGCUGAGAUCAUACUUGUUGAUGCCAAAAAGGUGGGAGGGGUAAAUAGGUGAUGUAGAUCUACUUGAAGUCUUGAAAAUCUUCCACCUAAAUCUGCAAAAGAAAAUGCAAAAUGCUAAUCAGGUCGGAAUUGGGGGCAAAACCAUCUGAUCAUUAAGUUCAUGAUUUAGAAAUCUGGAGAUUAUAUCUUGUGUGCAAGUCUGUAGCCUCAAUAGUUAAACCUGUUAAUCAUAUCUGCUAGUGCAGUAUUCAUGGAUGAAAUCAGGGAGACUGGUAGGGUGCACUAUUAUGGUUGCGUAGUCGAUUAAUGUGUGAAACGGCAAAAUGCCCUCAUUACCAUGCUAGACUUGCUAUUGUAAAUGAUUUUAACUUAAAUUCAACUAUUACGACAAAAUAUUAUCAACUUUUUUGACGUUGGUGAUUUAGCAAAUCAUGUCAAUGAAAUUCUCUAAAGUUGCUUGGCUACCAGGCUUAAGUUCUACCUUUUACUGCUGCUGCAAAAUACUCUCAGGGUCUUUUCUUGAAUGCCUUCCCCAUUUCUAUUCCACAUUUUAUGGGACUUUCAAAUUUCUGAUGUGCAGAACUCUAUGCUGCAUUUGCAUGGAUAGGAAUAUAGUUUACCAUUUCUUUUGUCCUGUUAAUUGUAGAAAAUUUCACCUUAAUUAUGUCCCUGAAUUUGUUUGUAGUUUCCUUUGGUUCUAGUCAUUUACUUCUCCCGGAAACCUUUUUGACAUUCACUAUUUUGGUGAUUUUCUUUCCCUACUUAUUGGAGAUGAUCCUGUGUAUGACCACAAUACAAUAGGUAUUCAGAGUAAGAACACAUUUUUUUUUGUUUCGUCGUGAACCCUUGCAUGUAGGUAUUUAACUCAAUAUCGAGCAGUGCUGAUUCGAUGCAACCAAUUGGAUUGUUAUUUGAUUUCCUUUAUAAAUUCUUAAGGGAUUUGGAACUUUAACAGGUUUUCUUGCACCUUUUGAGUUUGAGUCGGAUUUUAGUUGGAGACUGCCAAUUUCAUUUAGAUGUGCUAUUCUAAGGUUGCAUGUAUUUACAUACAAAAAAUUUUGUUUGAUUUAUGUCAUUGUAAAAAAAAUUUGUGAUUAUUUUUUCGUAUUUGAUUUAGUGCCGCUAUGAACUCAGAGACACGGGAGGAAGUAGCAAUUAAAAAGAUUGGCAAUGCUUUUGACAACAGAAUUGAUGCCAAGAGGACACUGCGGGAAAUAAAGCUUCUUCGUCACAUGGAUCACGAUAAUGUAAGUAUCAUUACUGUAUCAGUUCUCUGAAAGAUUGAAGAUUUGAUUCAGAUGCAUGUUGUGCUAAUUGGUUUACUACCUUUGUGUUAGCUGCUGCUAUAGUACUUCAAUUGUUUUAUUGUUAUAGAAAUUUUGUUUAGCUGUUGUACUAGCUGGGUAAACAUGUUGCUACUUGGUCUUCAUAAGCUUUGCAUUUUCUUUUCUCAUUGCUUCUGUUGUUUACAUAUAUUUUUUUUCCAAGUCUACAUGCUAGAAAUAAAGUCUUCAUUAGUUAUAUUUUAUCCAAAUCAAGAGUGCCACAGGACAACUAUGUGAUUGACUUGGGAUGAGAUGGAAUAGGCAAUCUUUAGGCCUGGCUCCUUUAAUUUAAGUUUGUUUACUUGGGGGGAGGGAGUCUAAGUGUGAAGUUUCGGGUUUGAGCCUUCCCACUUACGCUAAAAAAAAAGUUUAUUUAUGGAAAAAUGUGGAUAUGCUUGUUUUAUCAACUAGCGAGUCCAUGAAGAAUUAAGAUUGAGCUCAAGGUGGACUGUUGACUACCUUUGUAGGUCCUCACAAGAAAUUUCUCCUGAGAAAGUUACAUCAGUAAAGAUAGCUUUUUUCCUGAACUCAAAUGCACAUAGCAAGUAGAGUCCUGGAUUGCUCAACAGUAGUAUCGAAACCCACUAUCAUUUAUGAUUAUAUAUAGUUACCGAAUAGCCUUAAAUUGCACUGAUUUCAAGACAUCCUGCAUCUCUCCUUCAACUUUUAUGAUCUUCCUUUCGCCUUCAACUGGUAUGUUCUUCCCUACCUUCCGUUUCUAGUCUAAGAAGGCAACCAACAUGACACCCAACCACCAGCUAAUGAAAAGUAAAUGUAGAUGAAUGGUAAGAUGCCCACAGCUAUUCCUGUAUAAAAUGUCAAUCCCUUUAUAAGCAUUUAGCAUUGUCUAGAUACAUAGCAAAAGGAAGCAUAUAAAGAGCAUUUAAAAACAGGUGCUUAAAUCUCUCGCAGCCCCGUCACCAUUAAAACACACAUGUAGUGUGAAGUUGGACAUGUUUUCCAUGCCUAUGAUUAUUCUGUUGCUGGCUUUGACAGGAAAUUACAUUGCAAAAGGGGGCGUGAGUGUCUUUUCUUCUAACGUAUCGGGUUAUAACAUAUAAUUGUGAAUCUCCAUCCUCUAGGGGACCUCUACAACUUUCCCAAGUAAUUUCCAGAGUAUUGAGUGUCACUAUGAUAGUGCCAUUUGAUUUGGAAAUUUUGUCAAAGCCUUCAUCGAAAACUAUGUACCAUUCACUCUGUUGGCCACAGAUUCCAUUUGUUGUGUUCUUCCCUUGGUAGAACUACAUAUUUUAUAGAUGUUUGAAGGAAAAUGAUUUCUGAUUAAGCUUUUUGAUCUGUUUAUGGGUUGUCUCUUCUUACAGGGAAAGGAAACUUACACGUGAGCAGCAGUAGCGCUCUCUGUAGGCUAAUAUAACACAAAAGUUUUUUUUUUCUCCCCCUAAAAUCAAGAGGCUAAAAUUAACAAAGCCUUGUCUAAAAUACUAGAGGAUCUCUUGAUUGUUUGCAUUUUAUGUCUCUCUUCUUUUGAAUUGUGUUCAAACCAUUGUGUCUUCUUUUGGGUCUAAAGUUCUUAAAUUUGGUUCGGUAAUUGUAGCUUACUGGGAUUCUUCAUUUUUAGAUAUAUUCUAACUUCGUGCUGUUUCUGUUGGCACAGAUAAUUGCACUGAAAGACAUUAUACGGCCUCCGCAAAAGGAAAACUUCAAUGAUGUCUACAUUGUCUAUGAACUAAUGGACACUGAUCUUCACCAGAUUAUUCGGUCCAACCAACAGUUGACUGAUGAUCAUUGUCGGGUUUGGAUCCAUUCUCUAGCCGCACAUACAAGAAUUGCUUACUAUAUAUAGCUAGCACCAAAGAAUUUCAAAUGCUCAUAGCUUAUCAAAAUAAUCUUUUUAUUUUACUUUUACGAAGAAAAAGAGGUCCUUUUUUUUUCCCCUGGAAACUGCAAAAAGGGCACCAGUAUGUUAUUUUUAAUCAUAUAAACUGUUUAUUUGUGGGACUCCAUUGAUUAAAAAAAAAGGUUAAGAAAACUGUUUAAAAAAUAAAAUAGAAGAAAUAUACUCCUUGAAAUCCUUAAUGGAUGUUAUUUUUUCCAUCUUUGAGAUAUCACGCAGCAACAGCAGGCUAGCUAAAGUUCAAUUAUUUUUCCCUUUUAGUUGUAUUUACUUCCUUCCUUCAAGUUAAAGGUGGCUAUGCCUUUAGAUGUAGCACAGGAGAUUCAUGUGGUGGAAUGUUGGUAUUCUUGAAAUGGUCCAACACAAGUUAUUUUCAGUGGAGUUUUUUUUUAUGUAUAGGUGUAAUUUCAUAAAGUGAUGAUGAUAGUCAUGGGUCUGAUAGUUUGCAUUUGCAAUUUACUCUGUUGUUUUUGAGUUUGACCUUCUGGAAUGAGCUUUUCUUUUGUCUAUGUUCAUGUGCUUGGGUCUGUGUGAGUAAGAGGGGAAGGGGAUGGGGUGUCCAAUGUACAGGACUGUUACAUUUUUUUUUUAAUCUUCUUCAAUGUUGAUUUAAAAUUGCAGUACAUGACUUUUUGACUGUUAGCCUUGAACUUCCAUUCAUGGCAGUAUCCAAGAAUUUCAUGAUGAAGUUUUGGCCUUGCAUGGAGAACUGUUGGUGUCUACGUUGGGCAUUCAACAUUAAUUUUCAUCUAAUUAAACAUAACAGGCCAAUUGGAUAUUUGUUCUCUGUUCCUAUUUGUGUUCUAUUGUAGUGAUUGUGGUGUUUAUGAUUUAAGGAUCUUUGAAACUUACAAACAAAAUGAACAGGAAAGAGAUUUUUUUUUUUUUUUUUUUGGGGAAAUGAAAGUGGAGAGGUGUCAAAGUUAUUCAUUAUGUUUCAGUUUUUCUUUUUAAUAUUAACCUAACACUUGUGAUAGACUAAUGUGUUUAUGAACCUAUGCGCUAGUACAUGGUCUUAUCACCACUCCUUGGACAUGAUAUUUCUGUUACAUGCUUUGUGCAGUUUUUGAACAUUCUCCAGGCUCUGUUGUUUUGAUCUCUAUGUAUUGGAUGAGUCUAAUGAUUUGCAUUACUAUUUAUGCAGUACUUUCUUUACCAAAUUCUACGAGGACUUAAAUAUGUUCACUCUGCUAAUGUGUUACACCGUGAUUUAAAACCUAGCAAUUUGCUUCUCAAUGGAAAUUGUGAUCUUAAAAUUGGAGAUUUUGGGCUUGCAAGGACAACAUCUGAGACAGACUUCAUGACUGAAUACGUUGUCACUCGCUGGUACCGUGCACCAGAAUUGCUACUAAAUUGCUCAGAAUACACUGCAGCAAUUGAUAUUUGGUCUGUAGGGUGCAUACUUGGUGAAAUUAUGACAAGACAACCCCUCUUUCCUGGCAAAGAUUAUGUUCAUCAAUUGAGACUUAUAACUGAGGUAUGUUCGUUAUAUCAUUUAAGAUGAUUUGUUGUGACAAGUUCUGUUGCAAGUUUGCAGGAUAUCAUUUGUUUUUUUGUGAUAAAAAGGAUGAGGAACAUCUUUUGUGGUUAAGAUUGAAUUUCUGCUUUCUUUUCAUGUAUAUUGCGCUCUUAGCCUUCUAGUCCAGACCUUUUGUGCUUUGAACAGUUAUGAGUAGUAUAGAUACCAUAAUUCCUUUGUGUAAUCAAUUUCUGCUUAAACAUUUAUUCUUUAGCUACUACAUGAGUAAGUUCUCUUGUUACAGAUUGACUGGUUUGCAAAAAUCCAAUUUUGAGUUUUGCAGGAUAAACAUCAGAAAUGGAGAAAUUUUUACAGUGGGAGUAGCACAUUAUACUGAAAUGUAUGCGUUUUCUAUGGGGGAAAUACCAUCUUGUGUAGAAAAUGUAAUUGUUUAAUUAAAAAAAAACAAGAGAAUCAUCAUAGCUUAAUAGCAUUUUGAAAAAAUAGAUGAUUGAAAAUAAGAGGUAUGCUUGAUAGAAUUAGAAAUGAUUGGAUUGGAAGUAAGAGGUAAUACUUGAUAGAAUUAGAAAUGAGUGGAUUGGUACCUUCAUGAAAACCAUACUGGUGAAAUCCUUCUACUUAUUUAAUGUCUUCAAAAUUUCUGCCUGCUCUUGUUCAAUGGUUGUCCAAUAGUUUGGAUUUGGAUUACUUCUGAUUCUGAAUUAUACUUGUUUUUCACUUUGCAAAGCUCAUCGGUUCACCAGAUGAUGCCAGUUUAGGGUUUCUUCGGAGUGACAAUGCCCGAAGGUAUGUUAGGCAGCUUCCCCAAUACCCAAGACAACAGUUCUCAGCUAGAUUUCCUAAUACAUCUGCUGGAGCUCUGGAUUUGCUCGAAAAAAUGCUUGUCUUUGAUCCAAGCAAACGGAUUACAGGUAAAGUAUGAUUAAACUAUUUCCGGUGCUCUCUUUGUCCAUUUAUUCUAAAUCAAACUUUUGAGUUGAAGUUGAACGGUAAUAUUAUGCUGACUUCUUGUCUUGUUGUCAUGCUUCAAAACAUAAGUUGGGAAAUUAGUGCCAAAAAUUAAGAUUCUCUCUGGAAGCCAAGUUUUUUGCCAAGUUUGUCUGCUACAAGUUUUUUAAAAACUUUAGCUACAGUAACCUCAAAAAACUUUUCAAAGUUUUUAAACUAUACACUUCAAAAUAUUCAAAAAAAAACACACUUCAAAAUUUUUUUAAAAAACUUCUACAAUAAGCUACAGUAAAGUUUUAGACAAACACCAAAAAAACUCACCUUCCAAACGGGGCCAGUGUUUGGCAAGGUUGUCUACAUAGUUUUAAGUAUUUCAGUUUUGAGUUUGGGUAAAAAAUCACUUUUUUUUUAAUGCUUUUGGGAGCACUGACACUUAACAUUGGGCAAAGGAAAAAGGCAACAAGCAGCAUUUUGAUCAUCAAGAAAAUAGAUGAAUUUAGCUUUCUGAGCACGACAUUUUAAUUCAAGCAGUGUAUGGUGAUUUAGUUGUAAGUUGAAUGUCUGGACAACUUGAAGGUGGUCAUCAAUUUUUUUGGAUGAACAGCCUAAAUAUUUUGUCAAUCAUGCGGUUUUCCCUGGUGGCCCUGAUGAAUGGCUCUUUUUGUUGUUUCUUGACAGUGGACGAGGCACUUUGCCACCCGUAUUUGGGACCUCUUCAUGAUAUCAAUGAGGAGCCUGUUUGUCCUAGGCUUUUUGUUUUCGAUUUUGAGCAGCCAUCCUUCACUGAAGAGAACAUCAAGGAGCUCAUUUGGCGGGAAUCCGUAAAAUUUAAUCCGGAUCCUACUCAUUGAGAAUGGAACUAAUGAUGUAUAAACAAGUUCUUUGACCGGACUUCCACUGAAUACUUUGUGUUGUAUCCAGAGUGAAACCCCUGAUUAGGAUCAUGAAAUAAAACAAUGGAAAUGUUGAGGUUGACAAAAUUUCUACAUGGUAGAUCUCAUUAGAUUUUUCUUCUGUCAUCUUCUUUGUAUUUUAAAUGUUCUAAUAUUGUACAAAGAAAUUGAAGCAGCGUUCACAUAGGCUCAACUUACAUCUAGGAAUGCCAAUUUCUCUUUGGGUGAUCAAAAGAGAAGGAUCCCUUCUUGCUGCGAGCUUAUCUUGUAAUUUUCUGUUCAAUUGCAUAACUCUAAUCAAAUAAUUUAUGUUAUCGAGUAUCAAGGCAACUGAGUAGUUGUCCUAAGAACUUUGCAUAGUUUGUGAUUUUGCUGGUCUGAGGCUUGCUACGCUUUGACGUUGUAAAAGCACUGUACUAUUUCCUCUGUUUUGUUGAGACAUUUUGACAUUUCCUGACAAGGAGUACGGUUCUGAUUUGCCAGUCCUAGCAGCAUAGCAUUAUUUCGGUUAACAAUGAUGAGGUUACUCGUGAAAGGUUAACUUCAGUCUUGACUGCAGUUCCUUUUGUAAAUCAUUGCUUUGAGAGAAGUCUAUCACGGUAGAUUGUGCUAUAAAUUUGACAAAAAAAGAAAAAGAAAAGAACAGUAUUACAGAAUUCUGGCUAGCAUAUAUUUAAGGGCUUAACAGGUUCGGCGUCUAUAAUAUUGGGGCGGACUUAUCAUACAGGAAGGAGCAACUGAAUGUCACUGGCCUAUGAGCAUGAAAAUCAUUGAAAUCUAGAUAAUGUAAAGAAACCAAUGUAGCAGCUAAGCUACUGGAUAGAUGAGGUUUGCUAGUACCUUAUUUGGUAAGAGCAGCUCCGUAACUCAACAUUUUCAAUUUCCAGAUUCUCCUGGGGGAAAUCACACAUUCCAACUUUUUCUGGACCCUGAUCAGGCAGUGACGCACAAGGCGUAGGCACCACUCCACUGGCAAUGCCUUCGACAUCAGCACAAGUCCAUGGAUAUUUCUUCGCCUUCUGUGCCAUCCCUAUGGUCACGUUAGCAAUGCAUAUUCCAGUGAAUGGGUCCCCAGAAAUUCCCUCGAGUCUUGCUGCCAUUUUCACAUCGUCAGCCACCACAUCCCUGUAAUUGAUUCCUUGUAUCGCAGGCAAUGCAUGAGGGUCAUAGUGAUUGUCAGCGUGCGAUCCAUAGUUCCCAGUCAUCCAAAAUACCCAUUUCAUGGUCUGCAAUUUCAUGCCUUUGACAUAUAUGUCUUUGACGAAGCCACCUCUACCAACUGCUGUCUUGAUUCUGACCCCUGAUUCUGUGUUGAUGGCCACAAUAUCUUGGGCUCUGACAUCUUGAAUUCCUCCAGACAUUUCACUCCCUAGUGCUAUCGCGGCACUGUAGGGUGAAAUGCAGGUUAGUCUUCUGAUGAGGAGUUGUUUUGUUGGCAUCCCGUAUGAUAUGCCAUACUCGUCCCACCCACUUUUGACUGCUAUACAGUCAUCUCCAGACACAAUGUAACUGUCCUCAAUUCUUGUGUUUGUGCAAGAAUCUGAUCACGAAUGGGAACAUUCAGAUUUACCUUAGUUUUGAUUAUUCUUCAAGAAACUUAAAAAAAAAAAAAUCAGGGGAAUUUUCGUGCUCUAGGACAAAAACAAACCUGGGUUGAUUCCAUCUGUGUUAGGAGAAGUGAUUGGAGCUGUGAUAGUAAUGCCUUGUAUGAUUAUAUUGCUGAAACAUUAGAAGCAAAAAAAUGAUCAGUAUAGUUACCAGCUACAAAGCCAAACAUUAGUUGGCUACUGAUUUGCUAUUACAACACAAAUUAUUAUUAAUCAAACGAAAUAUAUUCAUGUGCAGGGUACAGGACAAUUUGCUGCUGAACCAACAAUUGAAGCUUUUUUCUCUUUUGGGAAGGGGAAUAAAAAGUUACCUGCUGUAGACAGGAUGGACAUUCCAGGAAGGAGAGUUGACAAGGGUUAGAUUUGAUAUCUGAACAGUAUCAGAAUGCAUGAUCUCAAUUAGAUAAGGUCGGGUGAAUUUUAGCUUUUUCUUGUGGAACUGCUGCCACCAAAGAGCUCCUUGGCCAUCAAUUGUGCCAUUAUCACCUAUGCAAUAAUAGCACAAGCAAAAAGUAAAUCCAUGAUUCAGUCUUAGAAUUAUCUCUAUUCUUUCCAAUGGAUUAGUAGAGUUAUGGGUUAGUUUAGCAAACCUGUAAUCACCACAUCAGUGAGGUUUGUCCCAAACAGGAGACUAAUGUACCUUCCUCCCGCGGCAUCUCUUCCAUGGCCAUAUGAUGGCAAGGGGUCAACAACUGGCCAACUACCUAUAUCCUGAUGAUCAAGAAGUGUUACUAAAUUUAUGAAAUCAGUAAUUCAGCCAAUGUUUGAGAAUUAAUUUCCAGAAUCCAUAUGAUUAUUGAACAGUAUAAAAGUGGAAAACAUGCAUGAGCGUUAUCUGGUUAUUAUUUGCUAUAAAAUGAACAAGGAUGUUUAUCCCUGAUCCUGGUGGCCAAAUUGUUUAACAAGAACUGAUUAUAUAAAAAAGAAAAAGAAGGACGCUGAAUUAAAAAUGUGAAGGGAAAUGGAACCUGAGAAGCCAGAAGAACAGCAUCCUUGUGGAGAUAAAGAGUGAAAUGGCUGGUGAGAUUGAAGCUUCCCGUCAACCAUUUGCCUGCAGGAACAUACAAUUGAGCCCCACCCUCUGAUGCAUAUUGGCUCAACUGAUUCACUGCCUCCUGAAAGGCCUUAGUGUUCAACGUCCUUCCAUCUCCAACUCCCCCGAAUUCCUCUAUGGAUGCACUGUGUCCUCUGCAACUUAUAGCCGAGUACUCGAAAACAUCAGAUGAGCCCUCCAAAAUUCUUGAUUUUCUGCACUCAACUCUGCCAAUUACGCAAAUCACUGCCGAAACCAGCACGAGAAACUUCACCACCUGUCAAGACACAGCCAAAGAAAAAGGCGAUUAUUACAAUGAAAAUGUCCCGUGCCACUUGGUUGGUUUCUGGACAAAUCCCAUCUUCUGUUUUUGUGCUCUGUAUCCAUUAAAUGGUUGCAUUUCCAGAAUGAAUACAGCCAGACAGAAGAUGAAAUGUGGUCAGUGGAGAUUGGUCGUUCGCUUGAUUGUAUAUGUAUUACUCCAUUAGAGGGACUAUUGGAGAACGAGAGAGAAGAAGACAUGGACAUGGAAGCUUACUUGAAGAAGACUAGGGAAGCAUUUCCGCAAGGAAUCCAUCUCUUUCUUUCUGGGAAUGUUGUAUGUAGUAACUAGUAGUACCACGUUAUGAUGGAGAGCAUGUCACGGGUUCAGAGUAUAUAUAGACAAAAAACGAGAGAGAAGCUGGCUGGCUCCUCUAUACUCCCAAACAUUCUUGCUAAUCUACGGUUUGAUUAGAUAUUGAGCUUAAGAAUCUGUGGUGUUCACGAGAUUUUCAGUUCACAAGAAAACUCUUCCAUUAAUUAUAGAAUUGAGGUCACUUUUCCGGGACAAGCAAAGCACGUAGGUUUCUUUAAAGUAACCACAAUCUGCCAAAGCCAAACAGGGAAAACAAUUACUCACACUCUUUGACCUUUUCAUCCUUUUAAUCAUGGUACCUAAGUUAUUAGAAUAGAAAUUAUCGAUCUUUGAGCGUUAGGGGUGCAAAAUUGAUGACAAAUAACGGUCCAACUCUAAUUGCUCACCAAAUUAGCAUAAUAUGUCCAGGCACUGCGAAUCUGGUGUAUAUUAGUAGUAUAACAGAGUAAAAGGAAAACAAGUAGAUUAUUCAUUGUCAAGGGUGGACGGUUUUUAAGAGAGAGUGUAAGUAAGAGGUUUCGAUUCGAACCUUCUCAUUUAUACUAAAAAAAAGGGUAAAUUAUUUAUUGAAAAAAAAAAGGCAGAGUAAAUUAUUCGUUGCAAUUUUAUGCAAUAUAAAAGUGUGAAAGAAUUUUUGAGAAAACGAAUACUUGUGGUCAUCUCAGGGCACCGAGACAGCAAUCAAUUAAGACUGUACAUUUAUCUAAAAUCUUGAAAACUAAAUGCUACAAAAUACGAUGCUCGUAAUCAAUAAUUGAGUUAUUAAAGCUAUAAAGCAUGUAAAUGAAUUUUUCUAACGAGUGUCCUUAGAGUACUUAUUAAUACACAUAGUAUUCACUUAAUUUACUAUAUAUAUUAUUUAUUUUUUAAAUUAAUUUUAUAUUUUUCAAAAAUAUAACAUCUAUAAUACAUUUUAACGAGUACACUACGGCACCCGGUCAAACAAACCGCAUAUAAAUUUACUAUUGGUAAUUCUUGAGCCUAGAACAAUUGGAAAAGCAUCAAUUAGCAUAGUCUAGCAAGCAUAGAGCAACAAACUAUAGGCCCGUGAGCUGAAGUGGGUGGGUCAUGUCUCUUCUUUUUGGCUUUUAGGCCGGUUCGGUUGGAAAGUAGUUACGGAAUCAGUAGUGGCUCCCAUUCUGAGGAGCCUUUUAAAAAAAAAAAAAAAAAACUAAAUUCGCUAAAUAUUAGUGUCUCGUGAUGAUCACCCUGUGCCCACUCUCACUCACCUCACCGCACCAUUGCCGACCCACUUCACGGGCCAUCGAUAAACCCAUGGCCCACCUCCGAAUUCUCCCUCCCACCACAAUCCAUGAUCCAUGAUCCACAUUGGUGUUUUCCAUGAUGUUGCCUUUUUCUGCCACUCAAAUGGAGGGACAAUGGCAGGCUUCGUUUCAUUUUUGACUUUCCUGUCAGAUAAUACAAGUCUAGUUUUUAGCCCGUGCACCAUUCAGAAAAAUCACAAAUGUAUAUAUUUUUUUUAAUGCUAUAUCAAUAAACAUGCCAUUUUUUUAGCAUCCUUUUUUUAAAUUAAUUUUUGUUCUCAAAUGUUGCACAUAAUUACUAAAGAAUGUGUGCUUAUAGUCAUAGGAUGGAGCAGUCUGUACAAGUAAAUGCAAUCAUCCAACGCUUACAAUUGGCUGCAAUGCAUGUUUUUGUUUGGGAGGGGGGGGGGGCUAUGAUUUAUUGUCCAUGCAUGUUGGUUCGAUUGGUAACAAUUGGCAAUUUAUCACAAAAGAUUAUGUGUUCGAAUUCUGCUGUCAAUAUGAAAAUGGUGUUAGUAAACAAUCUAUAAGAAUCCCUGAUCUUAUGAUUUCAAGAACGAAUCCGAAUCCAACAAAAUUUUUUCUUAAAGAAGAAGAAGAAGAAGAAGGAGGAGGAGGAGGAGGAGGAGGAGGAGAAUACAUGAGAGGAGGAGGAGGAGGAGGAGGAGGAGAAUACAUGAUUUGUCGGCAGUCUUUUCAGAGAGCUGAAAAGGGCUGUUGGUGGUCGAUGUCAGCGAUCAAAUAAUGCAUGUUUCUUUAAUGGCCUUCUUCAUGUCGUGCAUGGAAAAGGUGACCUGUAGAUUAAUUUUGAAGCAACUCCAACUUAUUUUAUAAAGCAACUCCAACUAUGUACGAAAAACAUUUGAAUUCACCUGCAUCUAGGUGAAGGAAAGUGAACGGUGACUUCCAAGUUCCAAUGUGAGCACAUCGUUUUGUUCGGAGAGAAGUGAAGAUUGGAUUUGGAUAUUAGACGACAUAUUGAGGUAAAUAGAAAGGGGAAGUGUAGCGUAGCUAAUAAUUUUCAAGACACGGAUACCUACCACGAUUCAUUGUCGUGGCGUUAGUUUUUGGCGAAAGAAUUUUAGUGAUGAUAUUUGUUCCGUUUUUCCAAUUCUCUUGGAAAGCAAAUGAGCACGAAAGAGUAAGGAAGAUGAGUAUAAUCAAAGUACUUAAAUGAAAAUGAGUUAAACCAAACUCAAUACUAUUUUACACGUAAAUUCUUGUGGAUUAAACAUGUCACGUCACAUAAGAGAGAGCAUUUCACAAGAAAAACAAACCCAAGCUUUCAUAUUUCCAAUGAUUUUGGCACUCUAAACAAAAUUUAGGCACUCCUCCGCCGUAAACAACCAUGUCGAAAUGACAUAUAAAACUCACAGCCCUAAUUCUUUAACAAAUAUAUAUAUAUAUGUCAAAAUUAUCUCAAGGUAUAGUCGUCAAUCACUAGUUAGCAUUGACUAUACUAUAAACUCUAAUAUGGUUUAAAGUCAUCAAACUCCACCUCAAGAAUAAUGGGAGACUAAUAUAUAGACAAGCUCAAAAGUUAGGGAUGGUCAAUGAAAAUGGGCUUCUGCAGGAAGAGCAAUGGGGCGAAGCAGGAGAUGAAGAGAAUUUUUCUUUCACGCCUCAAAUGGGGUGGGAAAUGGGGCUUAGACACUCGGCCCUGUUCCCCCGGCUACAGAUAAUACCUAUAUUUAUUAUACAUAUCAUAUAUGCAUAUUUAUAAUAUAAUAAAUAAUAUGAAAACUGUGCAUUCUUACCAAUUUGUCAAGGUAAAAUGAUAUAUUUUGUUACAUUAGUUUUUUUUUUUUGGUUCUUUUCAAGUAUCUCAUGUUAUUUGUAAAAUAUAACGAUUAUUAACAUGGAAUAAUCCAAAAUAACACUUACCAGAGUCGUUAUUUUGUUAUAUAUGUUGGAAAAAUAAAUUCAAACAAAAAUUAGAGUGGCCACCCAUGGGAGAAGCGAGGCAAGGAUGCAGGUGCAUGCGGCAAGGAAUGAGAGAGACUUUGCCGUCCUAAACCCGCCUCGUUACCAUCUCUAUUCUACUAAAAGUGAUAAAUAUCUAGAGAUCAAAGCAUACUCUACAAAUACUCUCUCCGUCCCACUUUGAUAGUUCUGUUUUCCUUUUUCAUCUGUCCCAAAUUGUAGUCCACUUUCCAAUUGAAGAAUGUAGUUAUAUUUUAAUUUUCCUAAAAUACCAUUAUUCAAUGUAAGUUGUUGUUACUAUAAACCUACCCCAUAUAAUGAGAGUUGAUUUUUUUUUUACCAUCAAUUCAAAUUCCCAUAAAGUUGUACUCUAAUUAAUGUGAGGGUAUUUUAGGAAAAUAGUUACCUAAAUUGAUUGUUCCAAAAAAGUUAAUUACUUUUUCUUAAACUGUGUGAAAAAAAAAAUCAGGACUAUCAAAGUGGGACGGAGGGAGUAAUAAAGAUCAUAAUUAUUUGUAAAAUUACUUUCAAAAUAUUUGGCUUUAAGCUCUGAAAAAUUAAUUUUUUGAAAAAAGUUUAUGAAAAAUAAACAUGUAUAGGGAGGCGAGUUUCUAAUUUGAUAAAAUCUACAAUUGUUGGUCGUUAUGAGCAUAACUUAAAAUUUUAAAUAAAAAUAAAUUUAUAAAAUUUUUUUGGAUAUGAUUGGACUCCGUUACCUUUGCUCAAUUAUAAACUAAAAGUCCCCCCGUGCUUCUCUUCCCACGCCCUUCACAUUUCCUAUUUUUAACUGUUCAAUUAUACGAUUCAAACUCUAACAGCGAAAGUUGGAAGACUGACAGUAAUACAAAAUCCCCGUGCUUCUCUUGGGUCCUGCGAGGAGCAAAAGAUGCGGAAUGAAUUGGGGUCCUGCCUUCAAGGGACCUCAUAGUUAAAGAAAAUAAAGUAGCAAGUUGCGGGUUGUCAGAAUAACAAAUAGUUUGGUCUGCAAAAUUCAUCACUUUUGAUUUGUCGAUAUCCAUUUCAGUUCUGAGGACGACUUCUUUCAAAUUUCCUCUUUUUGUCAAACGAACAAUUCAGGGUAAUAGUAACUCCAUAGUUUGAAAGAGAGCAGAGAAUUCACUUGCAAAUUUGCAUCGAAUAGAAAUAAUGGCCAGUGACGAAAAUAUUCAUGUAGUAUUGCUACCAUGGUUAGCAUUUGGCCACAUCAUGCCUUCCUUCCAGCUUAGCAUUGCCUUGGCCAGAGCAGGAGUUCAUGCUUCACUCGUCUCUACGACCAAAAAUAUCCAGAGACUUCCUAAACUUCCUCCUGAUCUCGAAGGCUCAAUCGAUUUGGUGGGUCUUCCACUACCGGCAAUUGACAGGAACCUCUUGCCGGAAGGUGCUGAAGCUACAAUCGAUAUUCCGUUCCAUAAAAUUCAGUACUUAAAGAUAGCAUAUGAUCUCCUCAAGAAUCCUUUCAAGCAGUUCAUUGCUGAUCAAGCAAAAUCACCUGACUGGAUUGUUGCAGAUCUGCUCACCCAUUGGGCGGGUGAAGUGGGCCAGGAACUCAACAUCCCUAUUAUUUGCUUCUACCCCUUCUCUGCUGCUACUGCAGUCUUCUUCGGGCCGCCUGAAUACUUGGCCGGUGAGGGUCAAAAACGGGUUAGGUCAACUCCUGAAAGUCUGAUGAGAAAACCGGAAUGGGUAGAUUUUCCAUCGAUGGUUGCUUACAGAAAGCGCGAAGCUAUCGGUGUACAUGCUGGAUUUUACCACGAGAAUGCUUCAGGGAUCGCGACUGGACAAAGGAUUGCCAAAGUAAUCCAAGCCUGUAAGGCUGUAGCUAUACGUUCUUGCCCAGAAUUCGAAAGAGACUACUUCAACCUGCAGGAGAAGAUCACUGGAAAGCCUGCGAUCCCUCUGGGAUUUCUUCCCCCUGAGACGUCGAACAACUUGAGGGACGAAUCCUGGAACAACAUCUUUCAAUGGCUUGAUGAGCAAAAGCCGAUUAAGUCAGUAGUAUUUGUGGGAUUUGGGAGUGAAUGCAAGCUGAGGAAAGAUCAAAUCCAUGAGAUAGCCUACGGGCUAGAGGUCUCGGGGCUACCAUUCAUAUGGGUGUUGCAGAAACCGAGCUGGGGUGACAGCGAUAAUGAAGACGAUAUCCUGCCUUCAGGUUUCGGCUCCAGGGUUCGGGGGAAAGGAAUAAUCCAAAUAGGAUGGGCGCCGCAGAGGGAGAUUUUGGCGCACCCUGCAGUUGGGGGUUGUUUGUUUCAUGCAGGGUGGGGGUCUGUCACUGAAACUCUGCAGUAUGGGCACAGCCUCGUUGUGCUGCCUUUCAUAGUUGAUCAAGGCCUGAAUUCAAGGUAUCUGGUGGAGAAAGGGCUGGCUAUUGAGGUGGAGAGAAGUGAGGAUGGAUCUUUCAGCAAAGAUGACAUAGCUCAAUCAUUAAGACGAGCAAUGGUGCCAAAUGUUGAGGAUGAAGGGGAAGCCCUGAGACUCCUCAGGGCUCGUGCUGCUGAAGCUGCUGCUUUAUUUGGAGAUCGAGAGCUUAAUGGCUACUACAUUGAACGUUUUGUGGAGUACCUGAUGAAGACUGAAAAUGGGGUUCAAACUUAGAUGCCGCAAGGGACUACAAGAUGAGAAUCACGUUAUAAUUUACUACUGAUCUUUGGGACUAUAGCAUAUAGCAUGGGACAGGAACUUGUAGCUCCAAAAUGUCAUUUUAUCAGACACCGUAUUUGUAGUGCAAAUUUAAAGCUUUGUAAUCCUCGUUUUAUAUCAAAGAACAACAAGUACCAUGGUGCAAACUUCUGCAAGAUUGAAAGAAAAUUUCAUAUAAACUUUCUAACUACAAGAGUAAGAGACUUGAUUUCCUUAGGUAAGGAAGGCAUUUAUUAGUAAAUCAUGCCAGGAUAGGUAACUCAUAUUCCAUUCAGGAAAACAAAAAAGAGUUUCUAAUUAUCUACUACAAGCGCAAAUAAGUAUUUUUUUGUUCAAAAAAGGAAAAAAUAACAAAAAGAAAUUUACUUGCAUAUCCCCAGAAAAAAUAAAACGCAUAUUUUGUACAGUUUGUUGGUUCAACUAUUUGAAUGACAAUAGGUAGAAUAAAACUCGAUAUCCACGAAUAUCCGGUCCAAUAACAUUAAUAUUGUCCAGUUUGGUAUUGAUAAGAAAUUAUUGACGCGCACCUGUUUUAUUUGGAAUAUUUUUACUGUAGUACUUUUUGUGAUGUGAUGUGUGUGAGAUAAAAAGGUAAUUGGAAAGAUAAAAAGGUGUAUUGGAAAUUGUAAUGAUGAUGUAAGCAGAUAAAAUUGGGGAAAUAAAACACAAUCCAAACAAACCCUAUACUUGAUACCUGAUGUCAUAUAUAUGAGGAUUCACUUUUAUCGUCCAAUAACACAUUUAUUAAUUUUAUAACCCAAUAACAUGUAACUCUAAUCCAACACAAAUGAAGACAAUUAUGAUUAAAAACAGAAGAAUGUUGAUUUAACUAUUCAUUGAAUAUUGGAUUUUUCUCAUGCAAGUUCUAUGGCUUUAUCCAAGUUUAAAACUCAGUGUAAUGUGUUAAUUUAACAUGACGUAUGUCUUGAUUUAAUUCAAUAAAAAUUAAUUUUUCAUUUUUGAACUAUUCAACUUAGUAGAUAGAGGAUACGCGAUGGGUAAUCCGAACCCAUGAAUAAGAGGAUCUGUUAAUAAGAAUUAAAGUCUAUAGAGUUAUCUUAUAGGGUUUGGUAAAAUUAGGCCUAUCAACGGUCCGGGUCUAGACCCAGAUUCGACCCGGAUCCGUCAAUUUUUUAUGGGUCCGGGUAGGGAUAUAAUGCCGUUACCCGAACCCGAAUCCGAAUCCGUUUUGUCAAACAAAAAAACGGGUCGAAUACGGAAUAUAUCAUUCCGGCCCGUAUUUGACCCGUAUCCGAAUAUAAAAUAGAUAUAUAUAUAUAUAUAUACCAAUAAUAUAUCCCAAAUUUAUACCCCAAAUUUACUUCUAUACCCCAAAGGCCCAAACAACUAAAUAUUAUCCACGGACAUGCAGAACCUUUGGCAUAUACAACACCUGUUGCAAAAGCAUGAAUUUGAAUCUAACAAAAAGUAUUUAUCAAUGCUAAACAUUAUAUCUAGAAGAUGUUAAUUAACAUAUGCAAUAUAGCCUAGCUAAGACUUUAACCAAGUGACAACAUUGAAAUAAUACUUGUUGGACAAAAUUAAAUUGACCUUUCUUAAUAAAAAAAAGUAAUACUUUUUUUAAUUUUGUUGUAAAACAGGUUUCAGCUAUUUUUUCGGGUAGACCCGUCGGAUCCGGAUCCGAAACUAGAGUAGAAGACCCGUCGGAUAAACGGGUUGGAUAUGGAACCAGCAUAGUAGUAACGGGUCCGGGUCCGGAAUAAUGAAUUCCGACCCGGGUUCGACCCGUUGACAGGUCUAGGUAAAAUACUCAGAUAUACAAGUUAGAGUUUGGUAAUAGGAAUUUUCAAGGAUACGCGACAAAAAGUUUGGAAACAAAAAUUUUUGAGAGUUUUUGGCAACUCCAAGCUAUCAUACUUUUAUCUUCAGUGAGAAUUAUGCCAAUUACACUUUAUUAUACUCCAUUGCGGAUGCCGGCCCACCUGAGGGCCCCUUGUCUUGCCGGUCAAGCAAAACCCUCCCCUAAAAAAAAUCCUUCUCCUCUCCCACUGCCCAAUUCAUAUUAUUAUGUAAAAUGUUCCAUCUGGAAAAAUCCCAAAUUGAUGCUGUUCCUAAACUAGUAUAGCUACUACUGAAUUCAGCUCUAGCUGGUAAGUUCUCCUUCUGCUGCUUAUGAAAUAAUUUCCCAACUUCCUUAAAAUGCUGCCUAUUUCUACUUCUCCGUUCCCCUUAUAAUGCUUCGUGUUUGAUUGCUUCUUUCUUACGACAGAAUACGAUUAUAAAAUAUGAGUACUUCAUUAAUUCCCAUCUAUUUACUGCGCAAUUCACAAGCGUUGAAAAUGAAAUUCUUUUGUCUUUUUUUUUUUUUUUGGUUUUACUUGUUAUUGUUUCUUGCAGGAUGACCGGAUGGAUAUGUUGGAUUUCUAAUGUAGGGGAUUUUGAUCUCUGACUAAUUGGGCUUUUACAUAUAAGUUUUCUUAAUAUUGAAGUGCUACAUUGCGAUGGCUGCUGUUAGAUUUUCACGUUUAAGAUCACUUUGUUAUUCUGCAAAAUUCGUGGACUCAUUUGACGUCAGACGCACAUCUGCUUUUGGAACCCGAAAUUAUUACAGUAGAUAUUGCAGAGAAUCGGGGCUUAAGUUGAAUCCUAUUUGCAGUGGAUUGGGAAUCACGGGUUUGGACUCUGCUGUUGGUAAUGGUUAUAGUAGGGGAAAGUAUACUAGUCCCUCUGGGUCCAGCUUCUCGAAUUUGGCUAUAAGAAGUAGUGCCCCUUUUGGUGGAGUUGGUCCUAUGUUGAAUUAUCGGUCAUAUUCGUCUAGUACCAAUAGCCAAGAUGGUAGCCCGCAAGUUCCAGCUGCUGCUUCAGGUGAUGGUGGUUCUAGUGCAAGUGAUUGGACGGAGAAAGUUAAAGAGAUAUGGAACUCUACCGUAGAUGCUGUGACAUAUACAGGAGAAAAGGCUAGAGAGGCGUCAAGUGAAGUCACUCCUCAUGUUCAGCAAUUGCUAGAUACACAUCCGUAUCUGAGGGAUGUGGUUGUUCCUGUUGGUGGUACUUUGAUGGGGACAUUAUUAGCUUGGAUGGUUUUGCCAAGUGUUUUGAGGAGAUUUCAUAAGUACUCAACACAAGGUCCAGCGGCUUUGUUAUCUGGAAGCUCAUUGUGGGGGCCCGUUCCUUAUGAGAACAGUAUUUGGGGUGCUUUGGAGAAACCAGUUCGAUAUCUUGUAACCUUCAUGGCAGUUUCUCAGAUGUAAGAUAUCCAAGUAGUUGUAUCUCUUUCAUACCUCUGUUUUUUGUAAUUGAGGUCCUAACAAUUUUUUUUACUGUAAUUUUUUUUUUGUUUAAUUUGUGCAUGCAGUGCUGUCAUGGUGGCACCAACAACUAUCGCAGCACAAUACAUUGCACCAGCUUGGAGGGGUGCAAUUAUUCUUUCAUUUAUCUGGUUCCUGAAUCGAUGGAAGACUAAUGUCAUUACUCGAGCUUUGGCUACUAAGAGUGGAGUUGACAGAGACAAUUUGUUAACCUUGGAUAAAAUCUCUUCUGUUGGUUUAUUUGUCCUUGGAUUGAUGGGUUUAUCUGAGGCAUGUGGAGUGGCUGUACAGUCUAUUCUAACUGUAGGAGGCAUAGGAGGUGAGUUUUGCACAGCUAAUGUUUUUGCUGUUUUUUCUGUAGUGAACAGAUUUUUGUCAGUGUAGACACUUCAGUGUCAAUUUCUGGAAAUGCAGAUUUUCUAAGCGUUGAUAAGGACUUACAUUUACUUGCAUUCUAUGGUCAUUCCAGCCAAAUAGUUUGAUCUUGUCCAUGUUUAUUUGGAAUUACUUCUGAUAUCUCUAUUCAGGAAUUUGUUUGAGAAUUUGCUGAACAAUAAAGGUUUAUGUAGGUAGAUUUUUUUUUUUUUGGGAGCUCACUUUCCGAUUUUAUUCAAGUCAUGUUAUCUUCAAGGAAGUAUUCUAUGCAUCCUUUUUAUGUUGGUUAGAUUUCUGAUAUUCCUUUGUAGCUUUUGGCUUUUAAGGGAUGUUGAAGCUGCCAAGUGUUUGUUAGUGUUCCUAUAUCAUUUGUUGGCUACUUCUUGAAAAUAGAAAGUUCUCUUACAUAAGAGCACCUUUUCACCUGACCUCUCCAAGAAUAUACUAUAGACAAUGUAGACAUUUGACUUUGGUGUCCAUUUUUCCAUUCCAUUUGUGCCUUAGUUUUUAACUUUCUAGUUCUAAUUAGGAUUACUUCAUGAAAAAACUUCUUAUUUUCAGUUAUCGAGCUACAACAGCUCUGAAUGCGUUGUUCUUGGAUUAAGCCUCCUGCUUCUGUCAUUGGACCGACCUGUCCCCUUAUUGGUAUUUUAUUGAAAACCAUCUUUUUUAAUAUUUGAGCAACUGUAAUUUCUGUUGGACCUCUUAGCAUCAUACAUCCGGCCUUCUAGAAGAUAUUUCAAGGUCAAGAACUUGGUAUCAGGGGAAGGUCUGAUAGGGAUUAUUGUACAACUGCUUAUGAAUGUAGUGGAAGCUACAGGUUGUAGUCACUAAGAAAGAACUUGGUAUCAGGGGAAGGUCUGAUAGGGAUUAUUAUACAACUGUUUACGAAUGUAGUAGAAGCUACAGUUUGUAGUCCACUAAGUUAUGCAAUGGUUGGAUUAAAUGGUCAUUAUUUUUUUUAUCAAAGUAAAAGCAGAAUGAAAGGCAAAGAGCUUGCAUUGGUUAUUGCAAAAAAACAGCACUAAGACUUGUGACUAUUUUUAUUCAGCUGUCCUGAUUUUGAAAAUUCUUAUUAGAGGUUAAUUGUUUUUUUUUUCCCAAUUGGAGGGGAAGAAAUGCUUGCAUUCUGUAUUUUUAAACAAGAGUUAUGGUUAGGUUUAAGAAGCAUUGAAAAUUGAUAUCAUCAUGCUUUGACUUGCCAUGCAGGAGUGGCUACUGCUUUUGCUGGUAGAGACAUCCUUGGGAAUGUCCUCAGUGGGCUAUCUGUACAGAUCUCGCGACCCUUUUCAAUAGGAGAUACGAUAAAAGUAUGUCCAAUCUAUUGUUUAUUCGUACUCAUGUUCUGAUUUUUUCUCCUUGUAUGUGUAUGAUGUGUUUUAAUUUGUCUGUUUAGUUGCUUUUAACCUAUGUACUUAUCUAUCCAUUUAGCCAACUAUUGUUUCAUCUAGCCAUCUGUUGAUAAUUCUUCGUCUCUCUCCAACAAGUUAAGACACCCAGCUUAAAUUUGAUUGGUUUCAUUUUCACUUCUAGAUAUUGUCUGUUGGAGAAUGGUAUCCUAUGCUUGGAUAGAAAUGAAUAAAGAUCCUCUUGCAGUUGUUGGACAGGCUCAUGUCUUUACUGUUUCAGCACUAUUAACAAUUUUAACUAGUUUGUUUCUUUUAAUAAAGUACGGGAUGGAGUAUUUGUUAUGUGCUUAUGGUAUAUGUGGUUAACUGACUCUCAAAGAUGUCGGAAAAUUUCUUUUCCUUUGUUUUUUUUUUUGUUUUAAGAUCUGGGGUCACAAUAUUAUGUUUGAGAAAAUAUGAUAUAGGUAUACUUUCUUCUAUGUGCAACGUUCCUGACUAAAGAAGAGAAGUGGAAACAUCAGUCCCAGCAGAGUGCUUAGGCAUUUUCAAGUCAUGGGAUGGCGUGUCUAGCCUUAACCUUUGCUGUAAAAGUGGUAAUCUCUUCUGGAAAAUCAUGUAGAAUUAAUCUUAACCCAGUUUGAGAUCAAUGUGCACGGACAUAAUUUAGUUCUUUUGCUACAAAUCAUAGGAAUGUUUGCUCAAGGUCAUGUAAUUUUUAUGCCAUUGUUACUGCAUAAACAAUAGGCAUAAACAAUAGAUGACAUAGUUGACAACCCUUGAUUGUGUUUAAAAUCUCAGUCAAUAACAAACACCACAUUAAGAAUUUCUUUGGGCUUCUUUUUUGCUCAAAAUCCAAGUAGAUCUUUACCUUCUUAUUUGUUCCUCCUUCUUUGCCCUGGUGAUCCUGCUGUCGCGGAGUGGUUUUCCAUUCCUCUGCACAACUUGAAAAUUAUAUUUUGAUUGACUGGUUUUGUCAACGUUGUGAUAGAAGUUGGCUUUUGAUCGUAUUUUAGAAGCUUGUGCAUAAUUUUCCUUCUGCUACCACUGUUGCAGGCAGGUUCCGUGGAAGGUCAGGUGAUAGAUAUGGGUCUAACAACUACAUCAUUGCUGACUUCAGAAAAAUUUCCUGUGAUAGUCCCAAAUUCUCUUUUUGCCAGUCAGGUGGGUCUUAUUUGUUUUAGAAUUUUCAAAACCUGCAUUUUGGUCUUUUUCUUUUCUGGGUUUUCAUCGUUGCUCUGCAACUAUAUGCUUGUGAGUUUUUGAGGCUUUUUUUCACUUGAAAGUGUUGGUUGGAGAAUUCUUUGUGGACACAAUUACGCAUAAUUUUGCUGCUACUGCUAGGAUGCUGUAGAUUUUGUUGAAGUGUUUCUGGCAGUCAACGUUUUGAAUUCUUGAUUCUCAAAAAUUUCAACUUGCAUUUUUCAAGUCUCAUCACCUAAUUGGGCUCCUGUAACUGUCUCAUGGGAAAUUGCCUAGCUGCCUAAAAGGUUGCACUGCAUUCUCUUUGUAACUGGCUGUAUUUUCUUUACUACUAUUCUAAAUCAGGAUUACCUCUGAAACUAGAGUCUCUUCAACUCAGUUUCUGGAGUGGUUUCUCAUUGCCUGUGUGUGAUGAAAUGCUUAGCUGGCCAAUGAUCCCUCCUUCAUUCAAGCCUCAAUUAAUAUUUUUUUUUAGGUUAGCUUCAAUUAAUUUUACCUUGGCAUUGCAUGAGAAAUGACUUUCUUUAUUGUGUUUCAUUUAGUCUUGUUCAAGUUCAAGUUCAACUUCAUGCGAAUUUUCUUCACUAAUGGUUGCUUUAAGUAGGUGAUUGUAAAUAAAUCGCGUGCUCAAUGGCAAGUCACAACGAAAAUCCCUGUCCAAAUUGGUGACUUUGAUGUGAUUCCAAAGAUUUCGGAAGAUAUAAAGAUUAUGCUCAGAUCCAAUUCGAAUGUGUUCUUGGAAAAGGAAGCACCAUAUUGUUUCUUGUCUAGGGUAGAAAGAUCAUUUGCAGAACUUACUAUUGGGUGCAAUCUAAAAGCGAUGGUAUGCUCGCUUUCAUAUUGUCUUAUCUUAGAGCUUUACAUCUCAGUUCAUGUAGCUUUGUUAAUCGGAUUCAUGCGAUGCUUUUAUUCACUGUUGAUUUGAUAAAAACCGUUAUUGCUAUUCCAAAUGUAGGGUAAAGAACACUUCUUUGCGGCUCAGCAGGAAGUUCUUCUUCAGUCAGUUAAGAUAAUCAAGCAACAUGGCGCUUCACUUGGUAAUUACGCGGAAGAUACUAGCUACUAGCAAAUUAGCUGUAAAAAGAAACCUUACCACUGAUUUUAGGCCAUUACAGUUUUAGUUUGCUGCAUGUUCGACUCAUUGUAUAGAAGUUUGUUUACACUGGAUUCCGAAGGGUAGGGUACGAUAAAAAUCUGUGCUUUUAGGAACAACGGCGCUAUGGUGCCAUUUCUGCUUGAGAAGAAAAUUUACAUUAUCAACACGUUUUUCGUUGAUACAAACUAUUGCAGAUGCUCCUUCCCAGCAUGCAAUUUUUGUACUGAAGUUUGUAAAUCGUUGAUUGGUGCUUAAGUUUUUUUUUUUUUUUUUUUUUAAAGAAAUUGUUCUGGAGCAUAGUCAAUAUCAACCAAUUGAUGACGCUUAAAGGGCAUGGAAGUUACAAAAAUGCACUGGCGGAAUCACAGAUUGAGAGUUGGGGGACAAGACUAUGAUCGAUGUACGCGUGAAGGGAUAUCUUUAGAUUUUUCUUUAAAAACUUGGGGUAGGAAACUCUAAUUUUUACAAGGAUGUAAUUGAAAACUCUUAAUACUUUAAGGACAUUCAAAGAUGUUCCCAAAAUCUUGGUGGCAUGAUCUCAAAGUGAAUAGCUUUACCUUUUUUUUUUUUUUUUUUUGGGUCUAACAUUAACAAUCUAGACUGCUUCUAUACUAUGGGAGAAGGGGGAAUCUACACUACUAUACUAUGGCAUUGGCAACUCAGUGUCAACUUCUAUAUUUAAACUCCUCUUGUGCAUUAUUAAUAUGGGAGCACAUGGAUCCUUAGUACCACUUAUCAGUGACAAUUCAGUGCCUAUUUUUAUAUUUAUGUCAAGUAUUUUAUUAUUUAAAUUGUUAUGUGCUAUUUAUUUAAAUUUUCUUUAUCUUCGUGUGAUAAAUGGGACUGACACUGAAUUUGACACCAAGUAGUGACACAAGAGGAUGUCAACUGACUAUAGGAGAGGGGGAAUCCACCUAAACUUGUAGGGAGUUCAAGAGUGAAUCUUUAAACUAAACAAGUGCAUUACUAUUUUUUAAGAAAUGAAGCACAAAGAUUACCUAUAAUGCACUAGGGGGUUUAAACCCUUGAUUUAAUGCACAGAGAGCUCUUAGCCACUCGACUAGAGCCCAAUGGUUCAAAAUUAAGGAUACGACUAAUUGAUUCUAAGGUCGAUACAUAAUCCAGCAUGUUCUUAUCUUCUCCAGCAGUUGCAAACUGGCAUCUACUUUUGAAUCCCAUUAUUC
This 70390-nucleotide long non-coding RNA is filed under the name Coffea arabica (coffee). RNAcentral describes it as "long non-coding RNA (CARA_LNC002037)". Lineage: Eukaryota; Viridiplantae; Streptophyta; Magnoliopsida; Gentianales; Rubiaceae. The record is from RNAcentral.